UUUGCCAAAAGUAUGGCAGAAACCAUCAGGGUUUCUACAGAGCUGGGAGCGAUGUGUGUUUCGGGUGCGGCAAUCUAGGUCAUAGAAUCAGAGAUUAUCCUCAGUCAAGUUUACAAGGUCAGUACAAUCAUCCCCCACUCAGUCUGGUCGCCUGAAUCAGCAGGGUGCCACUUCCAGUGCCACUAGUGGGCAGCUCCCAAACAGACUCUAUGCACUUCAAUCCUGACAAGAUCAGGAAAGUUCUCCUAAUGUGAUCACCGGUUCAUUACAAGUUUAUAUUUAUAUGUUUAUGCUUUGCUAGAUCUAGGAGUUUUUUUGUCCUUUGUAGCUCCUUAUAUAGUUGUUGACUUCAAAGUCAGUCCUGAAAUCCUAGCAGAGCCCUUCUCAGUCUCUACCCCAGUGGGUAAGUCUAUCAUUGCUUAGCGGGCAUACAGGAACUGUCCGAUUAUGGUAUUUCAGAAAGUUACUUCAGUGGACUUAAUAGAGUUAGAGAUGAUAGAUUUUGACAUUAUUCUCGACAUGGAUUGGCUUCAUUCAUGCUAUGCUUCAGUUGAUUAGAGAAACAGAGUUGUCUAUUAUUAGUUCCCGAAUUUACUAUCCUAGAAUGGAGGGGUAGCACUUCAUCACUUAGAGGUCAGCUUAUUUCUUACAUUAGAGCGAGAAAAAUAAUAUCCAAGGGGUGUUUCUAUCAUCUCAUUUGAGUUAAAGAUUCUAGUUUUGAGAUGCCUAAUAUUGAGUCAGUUUCAGUAGCAUGUGAAUUUCUAGAUGUGUUUCCCAAAGAUCUUCCUGGAGUUCCUCCUGAGAGGAAAAUUGACUUCGAAAUAGACCUUCUUCUAUAUACUUAGCCUAUCUCUAUUCCACCAUACAGAAUGGCUUAGCAAAACUCAAAGAACUAAAAAAGUGGUUGAAAUACCUUCUAGAUAAGGGAUUUAUUAGACCCAGUAUUUCCUCAUGGAGCGCACUAGUUCUAUUCAUUCAUAAUAAAGAUGGUACUCUUAGAAUAUGUAUUGACUACCGUCAGUUGAAUAAAGUCACGGUUAAGAAUAAGUAUCCACUUCCUAGAAUCAAUAACUUGUUUGACCAACUUCAGGGUGCCAGUUACUUUUCUAAGAUAGACCUCAGAUUAAGCUAUCAUUAGCUCAAAGUCAGAGAAUAUGACAUUUCAAAAAUAGCUUUCAGAACUCGUUAUGGUCACUUCGAAUUUCUAUUCAUGUCAUUUGGUCUUACCAAUGCCCCAGUAGCUUUCAUGGACUUAAAAAAUCGUUCAAGUCGUACUUGUAUAUGUUUAUCAUAGUCUUCAUUGAUGUUAUUCUCGUCUACUCCUGUAGUGAAAAUAAUCACGUAGACCACCUUAGAAUAGUAUUACAGACCCUCAGAGCCCAUUAGUUAUUCACCAAAUUUAGUAAAUACAAAUUUUGGCUAAGGUCUGUAGCUUUUCUUGGUCAUAUAUUUUCCGAUAAUAGCAUUAGAGUUGAUCCUCAAAAGACCAAAAUAGUGAGAAACUAGCCUAAACCCAUCUCUCCAUCUGAUAUUAAGAGUUUCUUAGGUUUGGCUGGCUAUUACCAAUGGUAUGUUGAAGGAUUUUUAUCUAUUGCAUCCCCCAUGUCCAGAUUGACUCAGAAGAAAUUCAAAUUCCAGUGGUCAGAUUCUUAUGAGAAGAGUUUUCAGAAGUUAAAGACUCAACUACUACAGCCCUAGUUUUUACUUAUCAGAUGGUUCAGAAGGGUUUGUUGUGUAUUAUGAUACUUCUAGAGUUGGUCUGGGGUGUGUUUUGGUGUAGAUAGGAAAGGUCAUAGCCUAUGCUUCUAGACAGCUUAAGCCCCAUGAAAAGAAUUAUACCACUCAUGAUCUUGAGUUUGUAGUUGUAGUAUUUGCCUUAAAGAUUUGGAGGCACUAUUUGUAUGGGGUGCAUGUUGAUAUGUUCAUAGAUCAUAAAAGCUUUCAGUAUGUGUUCUCUCAGAAAGAUUUGAAUUUGUGUGAGAGAAGGUGGUUAGAGUUGUGUAAAACUAUGACAUGAGUCUUUUGUAUCAUCUAGGUAAGGCCAAUGUAGUGGCUGAUGCUCUCAACAGGUUAUCCAUGGGUAGUGUUGCUCAGGUUGAGGAUAGUAAGAAUAAGUUCAUCAGCUUUCCAGGUUGGGUGUUCAUUUGGUUGAUUCAGCUAAAGGUAGUGUAUGGGUGCAGAAUAGUUCAGAAUCUUCUUUGGUUUUCAAUGUAAAAGAAAAGCAAGACAAGGAUCGCAGUUUAGUUAAGAUAAAAGAGUCAGUUAGAGAACAAAAAGUAGAGGUUUUCUCCCAAGGGAAAGAUGGUGUGUUGCAUUGUCAGGGUAGGUUAUGUGUGCCAUGAAUGGAUGGCAUGAGGCAACGGAUUCUUGCAGAAGCUCAUGGUGCGCGUUACUCGAUUCACCUGGGGGCCUCUAAGAUGUACCACGACCUGUAGAAGAUCUAUUGGUAGAGUGGGAUGAAGAGAGAAAUUGCAGAGUUUGUGGCUAACUGCUGUACUUGCCAGCAGGUGAAGAUUUAGCAUUAGAAGCCUCGUGGGUCUAUGCAGGAGUUCAAUAUUCCUACUUAGAAAUGGGAGGAAGUGAAGAUGGACUUCGUGAUGGUUUUGCCUCGUACUCGUCAUUAGCAUGAUUCAAUUUGGGUUUUAUGGAAAGGAUGACCAAAUCCGCUCAUUUCUUACUAGUCCAUCCUUUUAUUUAGCCGAGGAUUAUGCCAAGCUCUAUGUUAGAGAGUUGGUCAAAUUACACGGUGUCCCUUUGUCCAUUAUUUCAGAUAGAGGUAUGUAGUUUACAUCUCACUUUUGGAAAGCCUUUCAAAAGGGUCUUUGUACCCAAGCUUACCUCAAUACGGCCUUCCACCGUUAGGCACAUGGUCAAGGAAAAAGGACCAUUCAAACUCUAAAAGAAUGUUAAGAGCAUGUGCCGUUGACUUUAAGGGUAGUUUGGAUGACCACUUGCCUUUGAUUAAGUUCGCGUAUAAUAACAGUUAUAAUUCUAUUAUUCAAAUGGCUCCAUUUGAGGUGCUUUAUGAGAGGAGAUGUAGGUCUCCCAUUGGUUGGUUUGAGGAAGGCAAGACUGCGUCGGCAGGACCUAACUUAGUAUUUGAUGCCUUAGAGAAGGUUCAGUUAAUCACGGAGAAGGUUCAAUUAUCUUUGCAUAUCAUCCUCAUGAUAGUCAUGCAUUCAUAAAUCAGUUUAGUCAUGUAAUCAUGCUUCAUUUAUGUAUGUUCAGUAUUAAAACUCAAUUUAUCAGUAGUUUCAGUCAUGUAAUUAUCUUUUAGUUUUGCAUGUUCAGUAUGUAAACUCAGUCUACCAGUAUUCUCAGCUUAAUUAAUCUCAUUUGAGGUCGAAUGCUCCCAAGGGGGAGAUAUUGUAAGACGCUGCAAAAUCCUAGUCAUUUCAAUCCUAAUAGCAAGCCAAAGAGGUCCCAGACUUAGAAAAUUUUAGCUAAGUGUUGACACUUAGUCUCAUUUUUUGCCUCAAUAUUUCAAUGACUUUAUCUUUUAUAUUUUCGGCCUUGAAUUAUCGAUUUCUAAGUCGAUUCAUAUCAGGGAUGUCAAUAGGUCACCUUGGAUGACUUUUAGAAUUUUUGAAUGUCGCUAGAAGCUUGAUUAGAUGUCCAGAAUAGUGGGUUGAUGUGACUCAAUGUUUCGCAUCAUCCAUCGCGUUGAUAGUAUCAUUACCAAUGUCAGGCAUCAUCACGUCACCAUUGAUGUGGCAUGGCGGCCAUCGCGUUGACACCAUCAAUACGACGCAUUGGCUGCAGCAUUACUGGGAAACAUAAAGCCUUCAGUGUAAUUUUUAGUGAGCCAACAUGAUCACGAUGCAUCGUGUUUUCCAUCGCGUCGAUCCCAUCGAUGCGGUGCGUCGCCAAACACGUCACUGGUCACAUUUUUGCUCUUUUAAUUCUGACUUUCCAAAGGUAAUUGAGUCAUUAGCCAAAACACAAAAUUAAACUAUCAGAAGGGCAAUUACAUUCAUUAUUCACAAAAUCCUCUCAAGAACAAAACUCUAGUCCAUCAAACUCAAGAUCAAGUUACAAGAAAUUCCCUACAAUAUUCAAUAAAUUAAUAAUAAAAGUAUGUUAGGUGUUCAUCCUUGGGUUUCCCUCUACCCUUGGAGUUCAAGAAACCUUUUUAAAUGAUAAGUGAAUUGAUUUCAUGAUUUACAUGUUUGAAUUGGAUUGUGUUCAUGUAUGUAUUAAUGUUUGGUUUUCAAAUCAAGAUUCAUUACAAGUUUCAAGAGAAUUAAUUAACAUAUAUGUAGAAUUAUGUGAUUCUCAUGUUAAACCCUUGAAUUUGUAAAUUGAAUGUCGUAGCCACGAUGUUUAUAUCUUGAUGAUUUCUAUGUGCACUAGUUAUGCUCCCCAAGUGUUUGAUAGAAUACCUAUGUAAAUUGAAGAGUGAAUUCAUGACAUGUUAUCAUGUGGUCCCAUUCAUGUACAAGUUCAUGCCUCUCAAGUGUUUGACAAAAUGUCUAAAUAAAUGCAAGGUGAAUAAGUAAUUAAUGUAAUGCCUUCAAGAUUUUGCCAUGUUUUACUAUUUGAUUUUACCGAGUCCUGGGGGUAUUCAAUACCCGACAAUCUAGUAGUUUACCUAGCAUUACAGUAGCCACAGAGAAGUCUCAAUAAUGUCAUGAACAAUAGUACUCAGUCAAUUACAGAACUCAGUCCAGUUCAAUCAGUCAACACGAUCAGUAGCAGUUCAGUCAAGCCUAAUACAGUCUAGUAAUUAGUUUAGUGUUUAUUCAGUUGAGAGUAGUAGUCAACACCGAGCGAACCUAGGGAUGGGGGCUCACCUGCCAGUUGAGGGUGUGACCAUUAGUAGCCGUCCCUUAGUUCCAAAACUACAUAACCAGUGUAGGUUAAAUAUAUUAACCUGCCAAUUGAGGGUUGACAAAGUGUUCACCUACCAGUUGAGGGUAACACAUAUCUCACCUUCCAGAUAAGGGUGAUUCUUUAGUAGAUCCACAUAGCCAUUAUUAGUACCUGUGGCACGGUGCUAACACCCUUCCAACUGGGGUCAUAGGUUGGACCCCAACUCAGUUUAUAAUUAGGGUAUGUUGGUUAGAUGAACUCUCCCACAGUUACAAUUUCAGUAUUCAGUACUCAGUAAUUAGUAUUGAGUCUUAGAAUUCAAUAAAGAACUCAGAUAGUUCUACAGAGCCAUGGCUAUAAGUUAUCAGUUACUUAGCCAUCAGAACUCAAUACUUCAGUUUUAGUCUAAUUCAGGAAGAGGUUAUAUGUACAGUAUUGUAUAUUCAUCAUGAUCAGUAGUUAUAAUUUUGUUAUGUACUCUUAUUCAGUUAUUUCAUAAUGUUCAUUCAGUCAUUUAUCAUCUCAUGCAUAUAAACCCAUGUAUAUCAGCCUACCUCACUUAGCAUACUAGUACAUUCAAAGUACUAACGCAUACUCUUUAUUUUACGCUAUGAUAUCUUAUAUCAUAGGUUCAGACUUACAGGCUCCUGAUCGUACUUAGCAGCUCAGGUUAUCAGUAGCAGUUAUAGUUGUGAGUCCUCGUGUUUCAAGGACGGAGUUAUUUUUUUCAGCAUUCCAGUAGUUCAGUAUGUUCAGUAUGUUCAGUAGUCGGAGUUAGUUAGGGACUUGUCCCAUUAACUUUAUAUUCAUAUAGUUAGAGGCUUUCGAACUAGACUAUUUCAGACAGAUGUUCAAUUUUUAAAAAUUAUUAUCUGUAUUCAGUAUUUGUUUUUAGUUUAUAAACCUUAUGGAAAUUUCAGCCUAACUUCUGUAUAUAUUUUCAAUAUUAUUAUUAUUAUUAUUUAGUGCUCAUAGAAGGUACCAGUCAUGGGUUAGCUUGUGGUCCUUCGAGAUUGUAAGCACUAUGUGACGCCCAGGGUGCAGUCUCGGGGCAUUACAUUUAUUUCAUUUGAGAUGUCAUUAAGGAGGAAAUUAUCAAGGUCGUGAAUAUUAUCGCAAAUGAUAACACUAUAGAUAUGUUGACCAGGAUAGUAUCGCUCACAAAAGUUGUAUACUAUAAGGACUUGGCGGGCGGAUGCAUCAAUUGAUGCGACUCUGGGAGAGAAACUGUGAGGUGGAUAUAGUACAUGCAAUAAAGAUUUGAUUCUUCUUGUUUCAUACAAUGGCGUUGCCCAGUAAGCUUAGAAUUUGACCAGAGUUAUUCAUACUCAUGCUCAAAAUGUAAAUCAAGGUAGAGAUUGAAAUAGUUCCUUCUCAUUUAUGUGUUGAUCAACUUACCCCUCUUUGUAGUAGUUAUGUGUUAUUUUAGGAGUGUAGGGAUAAUUGGCACAGUUUUUGAUAUAAUCCAGAAUAAUUUGUGUGAAUUUGUGAUUUUUAGGGGUUUGAAAGGCUUCAUAGUUGACUUUGGUCAAAAUUUAUUAUUUUGUGUAACAGAUGAUAAAAAAGAUUGCGACAACAUAUAUGAAACAUCAAUUUUGGAUUGAUAUCAUGGUUGAUUCGAUUUUAUGGAUUUUAGAUUUUAUUUUGGUCCUUAUUUUGGAAAUUAGUGAAAUUGGAUAUCGAGGGUUAAUUUUGUGAAAGCAAUCUCUUUUUAAAAAUUUGAUACAUCCACUGAGUCCAUAAUGUCAAAUUUAGUCUAGUAACAUAUUUCAUAUGCCUUCACAAGAUUAUAAAUGAAUUCCGAGGGGUUAGUCGGCAACUUAGCAAAGUUAUUGAUGUAGUUGUGUCUAAUGUAUCCACUUAAGCGGCCCCCUGGCAAGUGGGUAACUACCGCUAAAGUAGACAUUUGAUUGCUUUAGAGGUAAGGGCCACUUUAGCAGCCUCACACAUAUGGGUUGGACCGCUAAAGCAUUAAGCAAUGCUUAAGCGAUGAUCGCUUUAGCGGUCAUAGUUGGGAUGAUAUAAAAAUCCCCUUUCUCGAUUCCUCUUAUAUUUUUGAGAUUUUGAGCUUCUAGUUAAGAUAUUUUUGGAUGAUUUGUUUCAUUUUCGAUCUUCGAUAAGAUCUAAAUCACUAUUUCAAUUAUUUUACCUUGAUUAUGUCAUUUAAAAAACUUUUAAAACCUACUUUCGAAAGUGAAAUUUGUGGACUUAUGACCCCGAAAGUCCUAAAAUGGUAUUUCUUUGAUUAAAACCUCAUUUUAAACCCAUUUUCACUUGCGUUUUCUCCUAUUGCUUCCAUUAAUAGUGGUAAGGUUUCUAAGUAAAAUUUUGAUUUUACUCUUUCAUUUUGAAAAUCUAUUUUAGGGGUCUAUUUUGACUUCGACUCGAAAUUAGGCAAUAUGGGUAUCGUUGGUUUUUUUUAACAUGCAAAUUCUAUAUUGUAUGUUUUAGUUGAUUUUGUGGUUGUUCGAGAAGGAAAAGCUCUGUGUUAAAGGGCUUUAGGCUUGGACUUUGACGUUGUGAGGUAUGUUAUGGCUUAACUUUCUUCAUACUAGGCUAGGUAGUUAAUAUUUAUAUAAAAACAAGCUAUGGGUAUGGAUAAGAAUCAUGAAAAUGGUAUUUUAACAAUGUUAUUACUAUUUUGUGUUCGUGUGGGGGCUUAUAUUGUUGUUGUUGGUGACUUGAGAUUAUAUUUACUGUGUGUUGCCUAUCUGGGAGCUUUAUCUGAUAUUACUGGCCUUGUAUAUGCAUUGGUUGCUUUCUCCAUGAUAGAAAUACCCAAGUUGGGGUUGAUGUUUUAUUAAUGAUGUCUUACAUGCAUAUUUAUUCCAAUGGUAGAUUGCUUAUAUUAAACCAUGGAUGAUUGACAUAUUGAGUAGCUUAUGAGCUCAUGUGUACAUAUAUUGAAUGGAUUCAAGAUCUUUAUAUUGGUUUGGUUGUGAGAGUUAUAUCCUCAUAUCACACAUGCAUUCAUAAAACAUAGGUAUCAUUGAGGAAAUAUUGAUUAUAGAUAGAAAUAAGACAUUCUUACAAAACUCUCUAUUAUAGUCCACAAGUCAGAGAGGAUAUAUGGAUAUUGAGAUUAGGAUUGAGUAUUGAGAAAGUAUACGAAUUGUGAACCCCUCAUGGGUCCUACUUAGAAGCGUUAAGGCUCAAUAGGUCUAUACAGAGGUUAUGCGAUAAUCUUAGUCAUAUCACAUCAUUAUUAUCAACAUCAUUGCAUUUCAUACAUUUUGCAUCUUUAGUUUUGUGCUUUUGUAUUUGAUUCGAUGCAUAUCUAUUUUUCUUCUUCUACGUACCUAUUUUUCCUGAUUAUGUGCUAUAACUAGAACUGCCACUGGAGACGAUGUGAGGUACCGCUUAGGAUAUUUUUUUAUUACAGGUGACGUGCUCAUAGUAUGUAUUUAUGUACCUUAUAUUCUACUUUUCUCAGUCGACCUAUGAUACCUACUGAGUACAAGUGAAUUCUACUCAUCCCUAGUGUGCCCUUUUCGGUGUAGAUCGAGGAAUGAGCGCAUCACAUGACAACUGAGAUUGUGCCGUCGGUCAUUAACAUUUUUGAGGUAUUGGUCACUCUAUGUCUUCAAAGUUGACCUCCUUUUAUCUAAUUGAUGUCUUUAUUUUGUAUUCAGAGAUAGGCUUGUAUUUUUUGGACUUAGUUGUAUUUUCAGUUAUGAGUUGUACUUUGAUUGUUACACUGUGGCACCAAGUUAUUAGAUGAAUUAUAAUAUCUUUAUUUUUCAGACUUCCACUAUUAUUGUACAUGUAUAGUCUGACUUUGCUCUAGAAAUCUCGCCAUAAAAAUUAUUGUAUUAUUUUCUUCUUACUUAUCAAUUUUGGUGAUUGACUUACUUAUCAAGGCUUAUUUGCAAUAAGUGUCAUCAUGACCUUAGUUUUUGAGCCGUGAAAUUUAAUUUUUUGUUGGAUCAAACCCAUGUGAAAGAAAAUUUUAUGUGUUAAUUUACUUGUCUAGUAAAUGAACUUGGAUAGCAAGCAAAAAUUUGUGGAGGAAAAAUUUUAUAUUUAUUGUUUUCUUAUUUUGUGGUUGGAGUUCAUGUUUGGCCAUCUAUAAAAGGAUGUAACGCCUCAAUUUUCUAAACCGGAAUGCUACACGGUGCUCAUGACCCCGAAGGACCACAAGCUAACCCAUGACUGAUAUUUGUACCUGUAACUGCAUAAUAUACAUAUAAAAUAUGGAAACAUGAACAAAGAGGGCGUAAGGUUCAAUCUUGAAUAAUAAAAUAUCUGAAAUAAGGUGGUAUAACAGUACCAAAACAAAACUAAAAAUACUAAAGUCUAAAUCUAAAAACUCUAUAAUCGUCUGAAAGCCUCUAAACUGUUUGAAUAAGGAGUUGAAGGAACAUGUCUCCAACUAACUCCCUAAAUUGAAAAUAAACUGAAAUACUGGAAUAAUAAAUGUAACGAUCGUGUCCUCGAAAGAUGAGGACUCACUGCUAACUAAAGUGCUACUGUUGAUCUGGAAUCUGCACCUCAGAACCUAUGGUGUAACAUAAAAAGAAAGCACCAUAGCGCAAAUGUGUCAGUACAACUAAAGAACUGGGCAUACGUAGGGGUAGGCUAAAUGCAUGGGGUUUAUAUGCAUGAACAUGCUGACUAAUAUGAACGUGAGAAUACAUACAUACAUACAUACAUACGUAACUGCUACUAAACUCAUGGAGAUACUGACUACUUGAGUUUGAACUCUGACAACAUGAGUUUCGUGAUACUGAGAUACUGAAUGACUGAUAACAUGGAUGACUGUAUCUAACAGUCCUGAUUCCUGAUUUCUACUCUGAAGACUGAUACUAAAACUAUAACUGUAACUGUGGCUGUGGGAGGUAGUAACCUAACCAACAUGCCCCGAUACUGUAGUGGUGCGGUCCAAUCUUUGCCCUGAUUAGAAGGGUGUCAAUACAGUGCCACAGGUAGAGACCUCUACUAUGGUUAAGCCUCUCUGACGGGUAACCCUGAACAGGAAAUCAAGCCUAAGGUAAUAUAAUAGUCAAGUAUAGCGUUAAUCUGAUGGGUGACUCCUUCCCUGUGUUGGCUACGUAGUUCUAGAGUACAGGGAUUAUUGCUAACGGCUCUGCCUUUAUAAUGGGAAAAGUCGUCAUCCCUACACUCGUUCGGUACUAGUCCCUACUCCCAACUGAAAGACUCUAAAAAGAUUAACUGUGCUGAACUGACUAACUGAACUGAAGUGAUUUAUAAACUGAUAACUGAGCUGAUAAUAUUUUCUUAGCUGAACUAAGCUGAAUUCACUGAGUUCCGUUGACUGACGAAACAGCUACUUAAGAUUUGAGGUCUGACUUAGAGUACUGAAACUACUGGGACUACUGAACUACUGAGAUUUCUGAGUUUUUCUGAGUCACAUGACUAACUAAAAUCUAUGGAGCAUAGCUUGACUGAGGAUGUCUUGAAACAUAACACUAGCUCUAGGCACACAGCUAUAGUUUUCGGGUACAAGUACCCCCAGGACUCGAUGGAAGGAAACUGACACACAUGACUGACUUUAUCAUAAGAGUAGAGUCCACAAUUCACAAUAUCAUAAGUAAGGAUUUCAUAAUAAAAUUCUCAACAAACAUCACAUGAUCGGGAAUGCACACAACAUGUAUAUACUUGCAUGGCUUCAUAAACUUAGAACAUGGAAUAGUCAUUUAGUACUUAUUAUGUCAUAAAAGCAUGAUUUCUAUUCCCUUAGGUAUUUUCACAAACACCUUACAUGCACAUCUUAGGCAUAGGUGGAUUCAUCAAGAUUACAAAUAUUUAACCACUAAUUUUACAUAUUUAUACAUUAAAUACCACCAUGUUCUCACACAAGACAUACAAAGAUCCCAUCUUAGGCAUCAUCAAACUCCAACCACAUGAACAUCAACCACCAAUAAUAUAAACAUCAUAAUAAUAAUUUAAAGAUGGUUCUUGAGUUUCAUGGAUGAAAGGAGUCCAUGAAUCAACUCACGUAUAUCUUAUAAGGAAGAUUCUUGAUGAUUGACGGGGGAAUUUCCUUGAAAUUGGAUCUUCAAACUUAAUUAUGCAACCUUAGUUUUUUUUCUCUUUUAGUGCUCUUGGAUGAUGAACUUAAAAUGUUAGUAGGGUUGUAAUGUAAUUAGGAGCUAUAUAUUUCGUAGGGUUUAGGGACGUGUAAGGAGUAUUAAAAGACUUAAUUACCCUCAAAAUAACUUAAAACGGAGUGUUUAAGUCACUUGAAACCAUAAGAUAUGCGCCGCAUAUGAUAUCGCAUAUAUUUACAUAGGCGCCGCAUAUGAUAUCGCCUAAAUUUACAUAGGCGCUGCAUAUGAUAUCGCCUAUAUCUACAUAGGCGCCGCAUAUGCUAUCGCCUAUAUUUACAUAGGCGCUGCAUAUGCUAUCGCAUAUGCUUUCCAGUGGCCAUGUGCUAUUGGUUAGGCGACGCACUCUACUUCGCAAAGCCAUAACUCCUAGCUCGGGUGUCGGAUUUUGAUAAAAUUAGUAUCGUUAGAAAGAUAAUUUGAUUCUCUAUAAUUUACUGGGUAGAAAUAUGCAGAAAUACCAUAUUAAAAUUGAGUUAUACUCAUUCAAAUAUGACCCUUAUGAAAUCAAACACUAAAACUUGAUGGAUUCAAAAACUCGUAGCUUGUAUUACCUUAAGUGACUCGUAUGAACAUGCUUAAUGCAUCAUAAGCUAUAUUAUCGCUAGAAUACUCAUUGUAAGUCAUGUACUCAAGUAUGAAUCAUAGAAUAGGAGAUUUCAUAUGUAGGAAAAAUGGUUUAUCUCCUAUCUUAGAAACAUGCGGGGUAUUACAAUAUCUCCCCCUUGGGAACAUUCGUCCUUGAAUAGAAAUUAACUGAGGCGGAAGAGAUGAUAAGAUGAAGUACGUACAUGACAUAUACUAUUGAAACAUGGGUUCAUGACUGACAUGACUGAAAGAUGAGCACAACAUACUGAAUUGCAUAUCUGAUGCAUGGGAAGAUGAUUCAUGAAUAUAAGACUGAGGAUUCUAAUAAAGUGAGUUUUCUCAAAAUGAGAAUGCAUAUCUGAUGCACAACUGAAAGGCUGAAUCCAUGCAUAUCUGAUGCAUGAUUACAUGACUGACAUGAUAUGUAAAUUUAUGAGUGAAGAUACUGAUAAAAAGUAUUUUCUCUACUGAACACGUAUAUCUAAUGCCUGAAUAUCUGACUGAGCUGACUCUUGAAAGCUUGACUGAUUAUGCCAUGGCACUUGAUAACUAAUUUAUAACGGGAAUAUGAAAUCAUUAAUAAAAGGUGGGGUAUCUCCCCCUUGGGACACUAUGUCCCUCUAGGAAUAUUUACGUUGCUGAGAUACUGGGAUGAUGCACAGGGCAUCUACGAACUAGAUUAUAACUAAAAAUUGGAGAGCUGAAACUAAUGUAUGAUGCAUGAACUAAACUAGACCUGCUAAUGUUACUGACUAACUCAUGUGGAAAUAUAAUCUCAAACGAGCGCAAGAUAUCGAAUAAUGUAUAUAAUGAUCAUGAAAAACUUAUAACGUACCCGAAUCUAGGUUGGGGAAACGUUCUGGAUCAUGGUGAGUCUGGAGUGAAUAGAUUCGAUUCUGAUGCUGACCACUAUUGGUGCUGGGAUUUACGGCCUGCUCACGCGAAUCUCUACCUUUCUGAGCUAACACUCUACACUCCCGCAUUCUGUGGCCUGGCUUACCGCACCCAAAACAUACCUGACUAUUAGCUCUGCAUGCACCUAGAUGAUUCUUGCCACACUCUCCAUAAAGAGGAUAAGUACGCUCACUUCUAACACUACUCUGGGCUUUGGAGCCUGGCACCCCACCAUGACUAACAUCUCCAAAGUUAGGUGUGGGCACACUAGCUGAAGAUGGAAUAAGGGAUGAAUUUUUCUGACUAUGGUAAGAACGAUUACCGCCCUGUGACCCAGCCAGAGAAAAGUUCUAACCACCUGUUCUGAAUCUCUUAUUAGAUCUCUCCCUCUCCUUAGACUUAUCUACCUCUAUCUGCUGAGCAUGUAUCAUUAACCUAGUAAGGUCCAUGUCCCUAUUGAGCAUAUCUGUUCUACACUCUUACCCGGAAACACCACUCACAAUCUUACUCAUACUCGCCCUAGGGUCUGCUAUUAAGUCAGCAGCAUACUUAGCUAACUGGUUGAACUUAAGACAAUACUCCUUCACUGUCAUGGAGCCUUGUCUCAGGUUCAUAAACUCUUCUACCUUAGCUUCUCUCAUCUCUAAUGGGAUUAUCUAAGAAGGCAUCCUAAAAUAUCUGCCAAGUUAUGGGAGUUGCAUCUUUCUCUCUACUCUUCUUCCACAACACUACCCAAUAAUGAGCAAUAUCUUUUAGCCUACAGGACGCUAAUUCCACACUCUCCUUCUCUAACACGUGUAUGAUUUGGGUGAUCUUCUUUACCUCUUCUAGAUAUAGCUAUGGGUCCUCACCUAUUACUGACCCAAAGAAUUUUAAGGGUUCAUUCUCAUAAAAUUUUUGGUUCUGGCUGCAGUUGAAUCCCCAUCUUGCUGGGGUGGGGUUGUAGUUUGUCGGUUUCCCUGUACACUAGUGGUCACAACCUGGGUUAGCACCUAAAAAGCUACCCGAAAUUCUGCAUAUGACACAUUCUUAUUCAAAUGAUCUGCGGGCUGUGGGGCUGACUGAUUCCCUUCUUUUCUUAGAAGGCAUGUUCUGCAAACAGAAGAGGAAUAAGGAUUAAACUAAGAGUUCAACUUGAGCUUUUUCUUACUGGCAUGAUAUAAGUACUGAAAGAAGGGAAACUGUUCCUAAAACAUCCUAUAGCCUCCUGUAAAUAAAUGUGGCGUGCAACACACCCAUGUACAAGACACUACUAGAUGCGGCUUUCAGACUUUCUAGAACUCUAUUGAACCUUAGUCUCUGAUACCAAAUUUGUAAUGCCUCGAUUUUCUGAACCGAAAUGCUACACGGUGCUCAUGACCCCAAAGGACCACAAGCUAACCCUUGACUGAUAGUUGUACCUGUAAUUGCAUAAUAUACAUAUAAAAUGCAGAAACAUGAACAAAGAGGUCAUAAAGUUCAAUCUUGAAUACUAAAAUAAGGUGGUAUCACAGUACCAAAACAAAACUGAAAAUACUAAAGUCUAAAUCUGAAAACUCUAUAAUCGUCUGAAAGCCUCUAAACUGUAUGAAUAAGGAGUUGAAGGAACAUGUCUCCAACUAACUCUCUAAACUGAAAAAUAAAUUGAAAUACUGGAAUAAUAAAUGUAACGAUCAUGUCCUCGAAAGAUAAGGACUCACUGCUUACCGAACUGCUACUGCUGAUCUGGAAUCUGCACCGAAGAACCUAUGGUGUAACAUAAAAAAAAAACACCAUAGCGCAAAUGCGUUAGUACAAAUAAAGUACUGAGUAUACGUGGGAGUAGGCUAAAUGCAUGGGGUUUAUAUGCAUAAACAUACUGACUAAAAUGAACGUGAGAAUACAUACAUACAUACCUACAUACGUAACUACUACUGAACUCGUGGAGAUACUGACUACUUGAGUUUGAACUCUGUCAACAUGAGUUUUGUGAUACUGAGAUACUGAAUGACUGAUAACAUGGAUGACUGUAUCUAACAGUCCUGAUUCCUGAUUUCUACUCUAAAGACUAAUACUGAAACUAUAACUGUAACUGUGACUGUGGGAGGUAGUAACCUAACCGACAUGCCCUGAUACUGUACUGGUGGGGUCCAAUAUUUUCCCUGAUUAUAAGGGUGUCAAUACCGUGCCACGGGUAGAGACCUCUACUAUGGUCAAGCCUCUCUGACGGGUGACCCUGAACAGGAAAUCAAUCCUAAGGUAAUAUAAUAGUUAAGUAUAGCCUUAAUCUGACGGGUGAAUCCUGCCUUGCGCUGGCUACGCAGUUCUGGAGUGCAGAGAUGGCUGCUAACGGCUCUGCCUUUAUAACAGGAAAAAUUCACAUCCCUACACUCGCUCGGUGCUAGUCCCUACUCCUAACUGAAAGACUCUAAAAAGAUUAACUGCGCUGAACUGACUAACUGAACUGAACUAAUUUAUAAACUGAUUAACUGAUCUGAUACUAUUUUCUUAGCUGAACUAAGCUGAAUUCACUGAGUUUCGUUGACUGAUGAAAAAGCUACUUAAGAUCUGAGGUCUGACUGAGAGUACUAAAACUACUGGGACUACUGAACUACUGAGAUUUUUGAGUUUUUCUGAGUCACGUGACUAACUAAAAUCUAUGGAGCAUAGCUUGACUGAGGAUGUCUUGAAACAUAACACUAGCUCUAGGCACACAGCUAUAGUUUUCGGGUACAAGUACCCCCAGGACUCGAUGGAAGGAAACUGACACACAUGACUGACUUGAUCAUAAGAGUAGAGUCCACAAUUCACAAUAUCAUAAGUAAGGAUUUCAUAAUAAGAAUGAUUCUCAACAAACUAUCACAUGAUCGGGAAUGCACACAACAUGUAUAUACUUGCAUGGCUUCAAUAACAUGGUCAUUCCAUAUCACAACAAUAUCAUGAGCAUCUCAUACAACAUCUUCAAUUCAAGACAAUAGCAUGGGGAUCACGUUGAACAUAAACUUAGAACAUGGAAUAGUCAUUUAGGACUUAUUAUGUCAUAAAAGCAUGAUUUCUAUUCCCUUAGGUAUUUUCACAAACACCUUACAUGCACAUCUUAGGCAUAGGUGGAUUCAUCAAGAUUACAAAUAUUCAACCACCAAUUUCACAUAUUUAUACGUUAAAUACCACCAUAUCCUCACAAUAAACAUACAAAGAUCCCAUCUUAGGCAUCAUCAAACUCCAACCACAUGAACAUCAACCACCAANNNNNNNNNNNNNNNNNNNNNNNNNNNNNNNNNNNNNNNNNNNNNNNNNNNNNNNNNNNNNNNNNNNNNNNNNNNNNNNNNNNNNNNNNNNNNNNNNNNNNNNNNNNNNNNNNNNNNNNNNNNNNNNNNNNNNNNNNNNNNNNNNNNNNNNNNNNNNNNNNNNNNNNNNNNNNNNNNNNNNNNNNNNNNNNNNNNNNNNNNNNNNNNNNNNNNNNNNNNNNNNNNNNNNNNNNNNNNNNNNNNNNNNNNNNNNNNNNNNNNNNNNNNNNNNNNNNNNNNNNNNNNNNNNNNNNNNNNNNNNNNNNNNNNNNNNNNNNNNNNNNNNNNNNNNNNNNNNNNNNNNNNNNNNNNNNNNNNNNNNNNNNNNNNNNNNNNNNNNNNNNNNNNNNNNNNNNNNNNNNNNNNNNNNNNNNNNNNNNNNNNNNNNNNNNNNNNNNNNNNNNAACCACCAAUUUCACAUAUUUAUACAUUAAAUACCACCAUAUCCUCACACAAGACAUAUAAAGAUCCCAUCUUAGACAUCAUCAAACUCCAACCAUAUGAACAUCAACCACCAACAAUAUAAACAUCAUAAUACAUAAUUUAGAAGAUGGUUCUUGAGGUUCAUGGACGAAAGGAGUCCAUGAAUAAAAUCACGCAUACCUUAGAAGGAAUAUUCUUGAUGAUUGACGGAGGAAUUUCCUUGAAAUUGGAUCUUCGAACUUAAUUAUACAACCCUAGUCGUUUUUCUCGUUUAGUGCUCUUGGAUGAUGAACUUAAAAUGUUAGUAGGGUUGUAAUGUAAUUAGGAGCUAUAUAUUUCGUAGGGUUAAGUUUAGGGACGUGUAAGGAGUAUUAAAAGACUUAAUUACCCUCAAAAUAACUCAAAAUGGAGUGUUUAAGUCACUUGAAACCAUAAGAUAUGCGCCGCAUAUGAUAUCGCAUAUAUUUACAUAGGCGCCGCAUAUGAUAUCGCCAAAAUUUACAUAGGCGCCACAUAUGAUAUCGCCUAUAUCUACAUAGGCUCCGCAUAUGCUAUCUCCUAUAUUUACAUAGGCACCGCAUAUGCUAACGCAUAUGCUUUCCAGUGGCCAUGUGUGAUUGGUUAGGCGACGCACUCUACUUUGCAAAGCCAUAACUCCUAGCUCGGGUGUCGGAUUUUGAUGAAAUUGGUAUCGUUGGAAAGCUAAUUAGAUUAUCUAUAAUUUGGUGGAUAGAAAUAUGCAGAAAUACCACAUUAAUAUCAAGUUAUACUCAUUCAAAUAUGACCCUUAUGAAAUCAAACACUAAAACUUGAUGGAUUCAAAAACUCUUAGCUUGUAUUACCUUAAGUGACUCAUAUGAACAUGCGUAAUGCAUCAUAAGCUAUAUUAUUGCUAGGAUACUCAUUGUAAGUCAUGUACUCAAGUAUGAAUCACAGGAUAGGAUAUUUCAUAUGUAGGAAAAAUAGUUCGUCUCCUAGCUUAGAAACAUGCAGGGUAUUACAAAGGAUGACCUUCUUCAAUGUUAAAACUAUCCCAAAAUUCAUAAACUAAUCUUUAUAAUAGUAAAGGGUUGUGAGAACAAUUCUCUUCAGAGCUCUCUCCUUUCAUUAUUAAUGUAAAGACAUUCUCUUCAGAGCUCUCUCCUUUCUUUAUUAAUAUAAAGACAGUUGUUCUCUGGUGGAUGCAGGAUCAUUCGGAUCCGAAUCAUUUUAAAUAUUAUAUUUUUCACUUGUUCUUUAUUUCACAUUUCUGAUAACAACAUCUUUGAUUUGGAAUGAUAUUUAAGAAAGAAAGAAAGAAAGAAAGAAAGAAAUAUUUUUGAAAUUAGUCAUCUAAAAUAAUUUUUGAAUAUUUAUAUGAUUACAAAUAUUUUAUUAAAGGUAAAAACAAAAAUUUAUAAGUGUGUCAUAUAAAAUGUUGCAACGGAGGGAGGGAGAAUAGUUUUGUACUGAAACAAGAAUGGCUGAAUAUUGAGAACCUAUGUGGUUCGCUGUCACGACCCAAACCGAGGCCCUGGCCGCGACGACCAUCCCAAAUUGUGAAGGCCCGAGAGCUCUUCUAUCUGUUAAUCAUGUGCAUACUUCAUCUACUAUAGAAAUGUAGAAAAUCAAUACGGAAACAUGGUCACUCUCUUAUUUCAUCUAACAAUACGAGUAUGAAUCCAUAAACAUUAACAUCAGUCUGCGAGAUCUCUAACAAUACGAAAACAACAUCUAUCUGAGAACCGGGAUAAAUCCCCCGGUCGGACCAUGAACUAAAAUCAACUGACAAUAUUUCAUAAAACAAGGCCUCCUAAACAAGAGAGGCUCACCAACUGCAAACUUCUAACAAACCAAUCUACUUCUUAGCGGGACCUCGGGACUAAGCCUUAGAUCUUGAAAGAUAGGGGGUCAAUACAAAUAUAUUGGUAUGGAGAGCAAUCCAAAAAUCAAAAUUCAUUUUUUAUACAACAUAUAUGAGAGAAUUUCAUAAAAAUGUAUCAUCACAUAGCAUUUGAAAAAACAUGGGCAUAAUCUGAUAUAUUUCAAAACAUAUUCUUCAAGAUCCUGACUCUACUCUUUCUUCUCUUCUAUGUUAGAUGGUACACCCUACAAUCUGUAAUUCCAUGGGCUAUAUGGAAUCUACCCUUGACUCGGCGUCCAAGACCCCAACCUAAGUUUGCCACAAAGGUUGGAGUCUCUGUAUCUCUACUACACUACAGGGUCAUCGCAGCAUACAAUUCCCUUUUGGGAAAAUAUGAAUCCGUAUCGGCAAAUCACGAUUUUGGACAAUGAGUUAUCUAACUCGUGUAUUCUUUGGGUAACCGUCUAACUCUCUUAAGCCCAAUUUUAGACUCUUUAAAAAAUAUCUUCUUUGAAAAGUUCUUUCUUUCUUAAUAUCUUUGGGCACUUCAAAAAUAGGGUAUCGUCAUACCCAGACUUGUAAGUCAAGUAACAAUAUCUCUACUUCCCUUAUCUUAUUUCAAAAGGUAUUGAUUGACCACCAAACAAUUCAAUUAUCAAAUGAUAGUUCACCAUUCAAAACAUUUAAAAAUCAACAAUUUUCUCUGCAAUGCUUGUAUCUACGGUGGUCAUCUUUCAACUUAAAGCCAUUCUUAUGGGAAAACAUGAUCAUUUAUAACACAAGUUGAACACCCUCUAAUUCUCCCAUAAAAUAGUACAGUUAUACAUAUCAAUUCAUCAACAGACUCAAGCCUUUAGCAAUUUGCAUUAUCAAUUUACAACAUGUAAAAAACAAGGGAUUUUCAUAGUAAAAGAGGGAAUUACAUAUCCCAUGCUCUCAUUUAGCUCCACAAUUUUAAUAUCACAUGAUCAAACAAAAAUAAUUCGAGUUUUAAACACCACUUUACAAUUUCUACAAUACUUCAUCAAAUCAUAGGGUUUUCAAUACAUGUUCAUCAAGAUCUUGAAACCAAUUUCGUAUGUAUACAUAUAUACUCUUUAAAUCAAGUUUAUAAAAUAGUAAAUCCAUGCCCAUGAGGUUUAGGAUAGUCUCCCAUACCUUAGGUUUCUUAAUUCAAAGGAUAAAACCCAAACCUUGAUUCGUUUCUUGGGAAUCUUGAACUUAGAAGUUGAACUUUUAGCUUUUGGGGGAGGGCUAGGGUUUUGUUUAUGAGAAAAACUAAUGAAUUUAGGGCAUAUAAUGCCCUAUAAAUGUUCUAAUCUUUUGCUAAUACGAUUUGUGGCUAUUGAAAAAGUCUAAACUACCCUUCAAAAUUAAACUUUUCAGCAAAAUCCCAUUUUUGGGACUCACCGUGACGCGCCAAAGGGCUCACCACUAUUCUCACCGCAACACAGUGCAAUCGCGAUGAGCUAUAGGUUUUUUUUGACAAUUUCCCUUUUGGACUUCACCACGAUGCGGUGAGUGCCUCACCACCAUAUCCACCACGACGCGGUGCAAUCGCGGUGGGCUACUAUUUUCAAAGUCCAAACACAUCCCGAACCCUAUCCAAAAAAUCUAAAACCUUCUCGAGAUAUCCUCUCAACACACUUAAACAUGAAUUGACUCAAAAAUCUAUGUCUCGGGGUCGGAAAGAUAAAUUUAAAAGAUCAUAGAAGUUAAAGGAUUAAAAAUUUGACUAAGUCUUUUCAACACUUGGGAUAUUUUUAGGUUGAUAGCCCUCUAUGCAUGCUACUAAGAGCGGUAUAAAAUCGAGAACUCUACGAGGUGUUACAUUCGCUCCCUUACCUUUUAAAUAAAGGGAAAAGUAAUUGUUUACACCAUAAACUAUAUUGAAAAAUCAAAUACACACUAAACUAUUAUGACAACCUCUUACACACCUCUACUACUUAAAAGCAAAUUUAUUUUCACCCUAGAAGCUGAUGUGGCAACAAAAUUAAAAAGAAAAAGAAUAAAUAGCGCGUGCAAGAGUAAAUUUAAAAAAAAUAUUAGAAAAUAGUUCAUCCUCCAUAGACAUCCCUAAGCCAUUUCUUCAUUUCUUAUUCUUAACAUUCCCAUCUUCUCUUCUCCUUCUUUUUUUCUAUCCAAACCCAUUUUAUUUCUUUCACUAAAUCAUCGAUUACAUAUUCUUCAAUAUUCUCUGCCUUGAGCUUGAACAAAAUUUCUAAUGGUGAUAAUAUUUAGUGGGGUGAUAAAAUUGAUGGUGAUAUAUCAUUUAUUUUUAAUAAUUGACAAUAGAAAUGGUGCAAUUUUGGUGGUGAGUGAUGAAAUUUGUGAUAGGGAUUAUGCUUAAAUCCGAUGGAGGCACUGAAGGUAGAUCUGGUAUAGGAUGAUUUUGAUCAUAAGAUGAGUUUCUUAAUAGUGCAAUUAAAUACUAUUGAAGAAUUUUCAGUGCAAGAAAGUUUUAGAUUGAAGUUUUGAACAAAAGAAAGAAAGAAGAUCAGGAUAUGGAUUUUUUUGGGGUAAACUCCAAUGGUUAAUUUUAUUGAAUAUAUGGUGAUUCUUUGUAAUUUUGUUAUGGUGGAAAUGUUUAUGGGGUGAUUCUGAUAGUGAAUUUAGUUGUGGAUAGUGAAUCUAUAGUGAUGGAUAUAUGAAUUUGAUGAUAACAACGGUGGCGAUGGCAAUGGCUUGAUGGAGGUUUGGUGGUGUUGUAGUGAAGAUAAUUCAAUUAGGUAAUAUAUAGAAAAUUUUAAAUAGAAUCUGAUGAAAAAUUUGAUGUGCCAGUGAUGUGGCGUGAGUACAAAUCACUUCCAUCAUGUGACUAGUUAUAGGUGUGCAAGGGUGGACAUAAAUUCACUUUUAUAUAGUUGAUGUGCGUAUUAAGUCACUUUAAUAGUUUAUGUAUGUCUUUGACUUUUCAAAUAUAAUUUAAGGUGAAAACCAUGAGUUUUUUUCAUUAUACUAGAAGUACAAGUAAGAAUUAGGGGAUCGACAUGGUUUCUUACAUGUCUUUUAAAUUGUGUUUAGGAAAUUUUAGUAAUUUAUUUUGGCUGCAUAAAUUGUGUGGGGUUUUCUAUUGUUACCAGGUUAGUUUUAGUAGAGUGAAAGGUGUCAUUCGUGCCUCUUACCACCUCAUAUCUUACAACGUCACCACAUCUUGUAAUCUCAUUUAUACUUCUUUCUUUAAUUCUCAUUUGAGCUUGGUGUUCCAGAUUUUAGGUGAGCUAUUCCAUCAAGUAUUUCUUCUUUAUUGGAGCCUUCACAUAUUUUUUAUCCAAUUUUUUUCCUUAAGGUGAUUAUUUCUAACGAAUAACAAUCAUUGAAAUUAUGCAUUCAAAGUAUUUGAUUAUAUGCUCGAUUCAGUUUAUUUGGUGUGAUGGAGUUCACUAAUUAUAUUUAGUAAUUAUGAAAAGUUAGAAAACUCAAUUUAUGGGUUUGUAUUUUAUGUAUUUGCUGAAUAUAGCCUGUUUUACAUGUGAGUUUGCGAUGUUCUUUCAACUUUUAGUUGAAAGUUUUGAUCUUUCUAGGUUUUUUAAUGAAACACCCUAGUUUCUGGACCUUAAAAAAUUUCUUAGAAUUCUAAUGUCUGGACCCAAUAUGAAUCAUGGGUACGAGCCAUAUGUUGGGGUACGAAUAGUAUCGUCCAGUCUUAUACUACUAGUGUUGGUUGGUGGGAUAGAUUUUGGUCAUUGGAUAGGUACGACUUGAAUGGUAUAACUUGAAUGGUAUGAGUCGUAUGGUUGGAUAUGGAUCGUUUGGUUUGGGUUUUCCUUAGCUUAAUCUUAGACUUGGUAAUUAAGUUAGAUUUGAGUACGAGUGGCUCACUAUGAGCCAUAACCCAGGGUAUGAGUUAUACCCAGGACUCGUAGGGUGGUCAGUGUUCAAACCUCCUGUAGAUUCUAUUCUGCCAGAGAUACGGGUGAAUGGUACGGAUGGCAUGUUUUCAAUACGACUUAGAUAGGAUAAGUUGUACAUGGGACAGUAUUGGGUCCAAGGGUUGAGACUUUAGAUACGAGUGGUAGGUACCACUCGUAUCGAAUGGUACAACUCGUGAGGGUCUAUCGUACCCUUAUGACGGAAUUUUUUUGCAACUUAAGUGAGGGUAAUAUGGAUAAUUUCCCAACUUACCCUAGUAAGUCCCCAAAAAUUUUAACUCACUUGGGAAGUUAUUUACCCUAUUAUUCUAUUCACUAACACUUAGAAACUCUUCCUAAACGCUUUAUAAUCCUCUCAAGAGCUCUUGGGCAAGGAAGUUAGGGUUUCAACUAAAGGAUUAAUUUGGGGAUCUUGUUGGUGGUUUCUCUCCAUCUACCUUAUCAAUUAAGGCAUGUUCUUUUCCCUCACUGUUAGUUCCAACUAAAGGCAUAGUUUUUAUGAAUAGUUUUCAUGAUUUCAUUGUUGUAUGACUUUGGGUAUUCAACUAUGAUUUGGGGGUUUUGAUUACAAAUGAUUAUUUAUGGUUUCCCGUGGUUUUAAUUAUGUGUUUACAUGCUUAAUUGGUGGUUUUGGAUAAUUGGAUUGCAUAGGAAUGGUUAACUGGUAAUUAGAAUUGGUUUUGGUUAUAUUAUGCUCCCAAUAUGUUUGACAAAAUGCCUAUAAGGAUGUUUUCAUUUCAUUUACUAUUUUUAAUGGAACUCUUGCUUGCUUUAAACUUGGUAAAGGAAUUGUACAUGGUUUACAUUGUUUGAAAAGAUAAAAAGGCUAAUUGGUAAUGCUUGCAGGGUAUAUGAGAAUCCCCCAAGUGGUUUAGUAUAGUUAAUGGAAGGGUACAUGGAAUCCCUUAAACCUAUAUAUGGUACAAAACUUGCAAGUAUAGUCGGUAUGAUGAUACCUCUACUAAUGUCCUUGGUUAAUAAAUGGUUAAUGGAUUGGUUGGUUGCUCGAUCAUGGUUUUAAUUAGGCAAUAAUGGCGGGGUGUGUAGCAAAGCUAUAGAAGGUGGAGGUCCCAGGGGGACUAAAACUAGAAACUCAUAUUUGUCGAUGUAAGGUUUGGUCCAAGUGACGGUGUGCAUGAUGUCACACUUUAUAUUUAGGGGGAUGUACCAGUCAUUUUAAGUUUUCUUCUCCGAUCGUGCGGCUUCACGCACAGGGGCCCUUUCGACAGGGGGAGCUGAACCCAUAUAGACCAUGGGUGGUUUAGGACGGCAAAGCUACAUAGCCCAGGUAAAGGUUUUAAUGGCAUGCUAAACCCGGCUCCCUUUUCUAGCAUGGUUAUAUAUAUAUGUGUGUGUGUGUGUGUGUGUGUAUGUAUGUAUGUAUAUAUGUAUAUAUAUAUGUAUGUAUGAUGUGUGUAUAUGGAUGGCUGUUACUUGGUUUUAUAAAUGGAAUUAUAUUAUCCUUAUCCUGAGUUCAUGCUAGCGUUCACCCGCUAACCCAUCUUCGCGCGGCUGUAUAACUAUGCUAUGCAGAAACCAAUCGCUCUACUCUUCCUACAUAGUGAUUGACUAGGGGACAGCUGUUGGAUUGAAGUGGUGGGCUUUUAUCUUUCUGGAAGGCUCCAGUUCAUGUUAUGGAUAUUUUUAGAUUUCAUUUAUUUUCGAAUAUUGAUUUUGGCUAUGGUUAAGGGCAUGUCCCAACCGAAUAUUCUUACUCUUUUGGUUAGAGGCUUUGUGGCAUUGCUAUGGGUUGGAUUGGGCGGAAUUGAUAUUGGUGUCGGCCUUAAUAUUAGCAUUGGUAUUGGAGCUGACAUCAUUGGACAUAAUUUCUCAACGUUCCAUCGUAUUUUAUUUUGGAAUUAAUCAUAUUAUGUUUUGAAACUCACUUGGUUAUGGAUUGGUUUAUAGCCCUUGGUUCGGUGUUGGUUUGUCUUGGUGGUUUGGCUGGUAUAGUUUGGUGGACGGGAUGACUUGGUAGGGUUGGUUUUGGAAUAGACCUAUCCCAAAGUCAGUCCAGUUACGCUAUCUUGUUAUAUAUUCGAAAUUCAGCUAAUUCAGGGCAGGCGACUGAAGGUUGGGUUGGGUAACGGGGGUGGUGUUCGGACCCGGUCAGACCUAGGACGCCUAUUACGACAAGGCCCCUGGUCGAGUCGGGUCAUUGGAUAGGUUAGUUUACAGGAGAGUAAUGAUCGUCGAGCUUUUUGCACUUUAUUAACUAUUACUCAAAAUAGUAAUCUUGAGAACUUUUUGCAGUUCGUUAAACUGCAUGAUUUUUGUGCAUAUUGAUAUAUAGUAAAUCUAUUAUUAAUUUUAGUAUAUAUCAAGGCACAAGUAUUAAAAGGCUAUUUGAUCUGUACUCAUAAGUGAUUGAGUUGAACAGUGAGAAUUUCAUAAAAUGGUUAAUUGUGUUUGCACCAAAUUGGAGAAAUAUGGCAGCGAAAUAUAGGAUACAACUAAAGUUAUUGAAAUUGAAUCUAAAUAUUCGAAGGUUGUUUGAAUUGUACAAUAUUAGAAAAGAGGUAUGCCUUCUUUGCUAAUGUUUUCGAUAUAGGUUGGUUUUACUAUUGUGUUCUUAAUUGCUAAUAGGUUGUGAUCGUGGUUUCUAAGUUGAUAAAUAAGGGGAUCCAUAUUUGGCAAUAUGGAAGCUCAAAGAUACACUCAGCAAAUUUCAACAGAUUGAUAUUUUUUGGUAACUUCUUCAGUAUCUUAGCUGUAAAUAUUGCUUAUGAAUUAUAAAACUACAUGGUCAAUUCGUGUCCCAAAUGACAUUCUAUGUAUACUAUAUGUAAUACCCCGAACUUCUACCUAGCUUAAAUUCAUCCAAAAAAUGUUAAAGACUUGUUUCAAAGAUGAAUCCACUUUUAUACAUGUGGUAUUUUCUAGAUUUUCACUUUUUGUCGUGCAGAAAAUUUAAUAAGCUUUCCAUAAAUACCAAAUUCGCGCAAAUCCAACACCCGAGCAAAGAGUUAGAGCCUUUUUAGGGAGACAGUGUAUAACUUGAGCCAUCAGCACAUCGCGGAGCAGGUCAAAAUGGCAAUCAUCAAAAUUCAGUGAGCCUCCGCGAUUAUGGCACGUCACGCCAGGGUUCAAAUUCAGAAUCAUUCUUUUUUCAGUGUCUCAGUGCGAUACCACCGCGUCGUGGUGAACUUCCAGGUCUCAUCCAGUAUUGCAACGCGAUUUCACCGCAUCACGCCAUCAACCCAGUUCCCAGUUGGCAAUUUCCAGUGACACGGUGCGAUAGCGCCGCAUCGCGCCAGCCUGCCAAAUCGGGAAAUUUUUUCAGAAAUAAAAUACGCAUCCAAGGGUUAAAAGGGUUAAUUUUUCAACCCUAUAUAAACCCAAUAACACAUGAUUCAGCCUUAUUUUAUCCAAAAUAUAGGGUUUCUCUCAAGAAUAAGCUAGAGUUUUCAAUUGGGGAUUCAUAUUCAAGACUCAAAUUCAAGAAUCUCUCCGUCAAUCAUCAUAGAAUCAAGAACUAAGGUAUGCACAGUGUUCAUUCAUUGAUUCCUUUCAUCCAUGAAGCCCAAGAAUCAAGUUUUAAAUCUUGUAUUGUGAAUAUUUUAUUUUGGGUUGAUUAUGUUCAUGUGAUUAUGAUUGUAUGAUUCCCAAGUUGGAAUCUUUAUGUGUUGUUCAUGAACCUAUGCUAGUAUGUGGUCUGAAACAUAUGAAAUUGAGUUGAAAUACGGAGUUUUGUUGUAUUAAUUUGAUGCCCAUGCCUAUGCCCUAAGUCAUGCAUCCUAGGUGUUUGAUAAAAUGCCUAAGAGAAUAAAAAUUAUACAAUAUAUCUUAAUUAUGACCCAAGUGAUAAAUACAUGCUUUACCCUAUGACCAAAAAUGACUUCCAUGAUAUUAUGUGUAUUAUCAAUGGUUGAGGGAAUGUCCAUGAGAAUAGGUUUAUGAAAGUAUGACAUGUUUAUAUGCAAUUCCAUUCAUGUGCAAGACUAUGAUAACCAUGUGCUUCAUGAAACCCCCAACUUGAUGUAUUAUGAAUUGUUGAUAUUGGUCAUGUGUUUAAGAAGUGUCAUGUUCUGUCAGUUUUAUGCUAUCGAGUCCUGGGGGUAUUUAUACUUGACAAUUUAGCUGUGUGCCUAGAUCCAGUGUCAUGUUUUCAUGAUACUCUCAGUUAAGCCAUGAUCAGUAGAAUUCAGUCAGUCAAGUGACUCAAGAAAACUCAGUAGACUCAGUAUUAGUCUAGUCUCAUUUAGUAAUCCUAGUAAUCUCAGAAAUCUCAGUGAUCUCAGCCAGUCAUCAUGUCUCAAUAAUAUUUCGUCAGUCAAUGGAACUCCAUGAAUUCAUUUUAGUCUAGUUCAGUUAAUCAUGUUCAGUGUCUAUCCAGAUGGGAGUAGGAAUUAGCACCGAGUGAACCUAAGGAUAGGAACACACACUGUCAGAUAAGGGUGUGAUUCUUAGAAGUCAUCCUUGCAUUCCAGAACUAUGUAGCCAGCAUAGGUUGAGACAUCAAUACUGUCAGAUGAGGGUUGAUGACCGUUCUCUUUUAGUGGACACUAUCAGAUGAGGUUUUGAAAUAACUGAUAUUGAGCGACUGUAUCUAAUAGUCUAGGUUCUGAUGGAACUAGCUGAGUUUUGUAUAUUCUAAUGUUGACUGUAGCUAACAGUCCUAAAAUUUGAAAAACUAUCUGAGUUCUAUUACUGAGACUGAAUGGCUGUAUCUGAUAGUCUUGAUUCUGUAACGGAAACUAUGGGAAGUAGUAAUCUAAUUGACAUGCCCCUAAUAUGCCAUUAUGGCUGAGUUGGGGUACAAUAUGUAACCCCAAUUGGAAGGGUGUCAAUACCACACUACUGGGUAAGAUGUGUAUUCUUAGAUCAUUGAAUAUUGUGUGUCAAGUUUCUAUCUCUUGUAAUCUUGUUAUCAUUGUGUUGUUAAAAUCGAAAGUCUAGUGAAGCCGUGUGGGGCUCUUUCGAUUCACUAGCAUAGCUGCCUUGUCAUUCAUCUUAUUUUCUUGUUCAAAAAAAAUCAAAGUCUAGUGAAGCCAUGUGGGGCCUAUUUCGAUUCACUAGCCACUUUUGUUCAUCUUGUUGUUCCUGUGUUGGUUGGGACUGGGGGUUUAGUGGUGUAAUGGAAAGAAAAGUGGUAAGGGUGAUUUAUUGAAUAUAUGUAUGGCCGAAUCUUUUUGCAUGAGAUUGAGUUGGUAAUAAAGUAAUAUUUCCCUGUGUGUUAGUUAAGUAGAAGGUAAGGUAGAGAAGGAGUUAUUAGUUAAGGAGAAUUAUUGUUAACUUGAAGUAUGAAAAGAGUUGUUGACGGUGUUUGUCGUGCAAGAAAAUUAUAGGUUAUUGAUGAAGGUACUUGGUGGAUGAGUGUUGCUAAUUUAGAUGCCCCUAAAGUUGCAAGAGGGAGUUUAGUUGGGACUUAUAGAGCUAUGAACUAAUUUUAGUUGUAUAAAAGGGUAGAUAGUAAUGAUGUGAGAAGGAGGAUGUGUUAAUGGAUUUUAAAUAAGAUAGAUCAUAGGAUUGUGAUUGAUCCUUACUGUUAUGAAAUUUUGGCGGAUUAAUGUUUUCAGAUGUUUAGCAUGUAAGGAAAUUGUGUGAAGUUGUGGUUCAUCAUAGCUAGAACUAGACACUAAUUUGGAACAGUAGAUGGCGAUCAAGGUGGAUAUAAUAAUUGUUGUGGUGGGUGUUAGUUGUGUGAAAGUGAUCUAGUAGGCUUGAACAGUGUAUACAAGAGCUUAAGUUUAUUUGUUUCGUAAUCAAGUCUGAUGUUGUAAGUAUGAUGUAGAAGUACGCCCAAGGUGCUAUGGGGCUGCAUUAUUUUCAAGGAUCAUUGCAUGUUGUAUGGUUAGUAGUACUGAGUUGCUAGGCGGAGAAAGACUAGUUAGAUAAUAUGUGAUGUUCUUGAUAGCUAAGUUAUGGAGUUAUGAUUAAUGAUGUUGAGCCUUUUUUGCAUAAUCUUGAUUCUCAUGGUUUAGAAAUAUAAGUUUGUAGGUAGACAAUGACAGAAGUGGUAUGGUCCAUCAAAGGUUUAGAGAUAUCCAUAUUUAGUGUUAGAAGAAUCUAAGUUGGUGAAUGUUUAAGCUGUUAUAUGAUGACUUUUGGGGCUAUAGAAACCUAAGGGUUGAAUCUUAGAAGGAGGUAUUAGCAUUUGUCGUUAUACAUGAAGAUACCACCUUACUGGGUAAGUUUAGUUUUAUGUGUAUUGUUAUAUCCCCGACUCUAGAGUAAAGUGAUUUUAGUUUAUACCAGAGUGUAUAUAGUAGUUCACAGACUUAGAGUAAUGGCUUAAAUCCAAGGGGGAGAUGAUAGAACGAGUAACCAAGUUAAGUUUUCAAAUGCUAAUAGAUGUGCCAGUAAGUUGUGGUAUUGGCCGUGAGAAAGAACGAGGCUCAAUCUAUUCUUAUUUCAGCAGUUUACUUCAGUUAUUCCAACACAUACUCAUUCUUUAGGUUUCAGCUUCAUGAUCAUAGUCUGUGUUCAUGCAUAUGAUAAAGAAUCAUGUACUCUCCUAGUUCCUAGUAUGAUAAGUUCCCAGUUUGUUCAGCAGUCAGAAUUAUUUUCCGUAAGUUAUGAAUUCCAAAAAAAAUUCAGGUCAUGCAGUUCAUGACUCUUGUGCACAUGUGAUCCACUUAACGAUCAGUGAAAAUUCAGAUUUAUAUCAGGUACGCCCUCAGAUUAGAUCUCUUUAAUGAUUCCAUGUCGUGAGUGCUCUUAAAUGAAUUAUGCUUGAGAUGAGGAAUUGUGAAAUACAGGGUGUACUGAAUUCAUGAUUCAAACUAGUACUACAUUGUUAUGUGGUGCAUCCUGUGAUUUUGAGUUAGGCUUGAAGAUGGUGUGUGGAUUUAGUUCAGUUUAGACAUUAGUAGAUGGAAAUAUCAGCGGCCAUGUAAGAAAAAUAAGUGGAAUCAAUAAGCAUGGUGUUUAAGGGGAAAGUAUAGUUGAGAGAGUAUUUUAGAAGUGUGGCUAACCUUGAAAGCAAAGAGUUGCAUUGCCUAAGGUUUGGUAAUUCUAUCCUAGUUUAUGAGUUACAUGUCUAUAUUCCGUGCUAUAGAGUAGUGUCAAUAUUGUGAUUCCAUAGUUCGAUGCCUGGUGUAAUUUGUGCCUAAAUUUAUUGCUCCCUAAUGCUACUGGAAGUUCUUUAGAAAGAGGGUUGACAGAUAAUCUAUGCCAUCCAUGUAAAUUGCUAAUCCAGUUUAGUCCAAGCAUCAUGUUUCAGAUUCAGCUAUUUAGUCAUGACUUAGUUCAUAAGAGUUCAGCACAUAAUCCCAAAUUUUUCCAAGUAUUUUAGCUCAGACAGUGUAAUACCCUGAUCCGAUCUAAAUCCAGUUUUCUCAUGAUUCAUACUUGCAUAAGUUAUCACUCCUCAAUUCAAUAUGUAUGAUUAGAUCAUGAACACUCCAAGGAAAUCCUAAACUCUCAGCAUGAAUCAACUCCUUGAAGCAAGUAAAGUCAAGUCAACUAAGAAUUUAGUUUCAUGAUAGAAGUUUAAAUAUUUCAGAAUCAGUUAUAUCCUUUCUUAGAAGAAACAUCAUGUCUGCCUUAUUCCAUACCUUUAAGCUUCAACAUUCCUACCCAUCAUUCGGGUACGAAUGAUCCCAAGGGGGAGAUAAUGUAACACCCCGCAUUUUGGGCUAGAAUGAAAAUUUUCAUUCCUUCACGUAGAUAUUCCAAAAGCCAUAAAUUCGAUGUACAUAUAGUAUUUUAAUUAAUUAUAUAGUGUAUGAAUUUAGUUGAGUAUAAGUCGAGAUAAUAGAGGUCCCUUAACUCAAGGACCGGUUGAAAGCUUUCCUAUUGUUCGAGUUUUAGUGAGCGUUGAAACUUGGUUCAACUUCUAUCGGCCAUAACUCCUUGUAUAUGACUAACUAGAUGGCCUACUAUAUAUCAAAUGAAAGUUCUUUGAGUCUUCUUUCCAACUCCACCAAUUUUGCCAAAAUUCGAUAUCGGGAAAAAAAUUUAUGCCUAUUUUACUCCAGUAUAUCAGCCUGGCAACUGAGUGACGAUAAUUCUGACGGCUUGUCACAAAUCUGACGACUUGUCAGAAUAUGUCAUCAGCCUUAGGCAGAAAUCCAUCAAUUUCAGCUCUCAGGUAACGACAAAAGUUGAUGGCUUGUCACAGAUCUGACGGCUUGUCAGCCUUGGUCAUCAGCUGAGAAUUUCAGCAACUAGGAAGUGAUUUCGUAGGGGUAUUUUGGUCUUUCCCUCACUCUAAAAACCUUUCACAUGAAUUAAAUCACACCUUAUGUGUUAUUAAUCAAUCAUUAUCAGUUUACAACAUCAAAAACUUCCUCUUCACUCUCAAAAUAAGAUCAAAUUAGGGUUUUCUCCAAGAACCAGAAAUUCAAGAAAAUCAAGCCUUAAGUUCAACAUCUCCAAAAAAACAAAUCAAGAUCCGAGUUUCACCUAUCAAGAUCUAGGUUUCAUCUUUCAGAUCUUAUAAUUUAAGGUACGUGGGGUUUAUCCUAAAAACUACAUGGGCCUGGAAACACUAGAACAUGAUUUAAAGAUUUUCAAGCAUGAUUUUAGAAAAGGGGUUUUGAAAUACAUGAUUUUAUUAUGCAUUAUAAAUGUUUAAAUGCAUUGUUGAUUUGGCCCUUAGUCCUUUCCCCCUAAGUUGAUUUACAUGUAUACGUAUAUGUAUAAAAUUUGAGGUUUAAGAUUUUUUGAGAGCAUAAAUUAUGGACUCCCUCUCUUGUGAUAAAUUAAAGAUUUUGGUUUUGUUGGAAAAGAGUUGAAAUGCAUGUCUGUGAUUUGAAAGAUGUUUUCUCAAUGUCAUAGUAUUUGAAACAUUGAUUUAGAAUUAUUGAGAUGGUGUCUUGAGAUAACUAUGUUUUGUGUUAUAGAGAAGAAUUGCAUGAGAUAGAGACUUUGGACAUGACUACCAUUGUUUGUUAAAUUGUUUAUCAUAAAGAGAAUUACUUGCAUGAUUUUACAUGAAUUUUAAAGCAUGAGUUCCUUGAACAAAUUGUUGUUAUGGUGGUCCUGAAUUUCAUGAUUUGAAAACAGAGAUAUAAAUUGUUAUAAAUGGCUCAGAGAAUGUGACUUACAAGUUAAUGGUAUGACGAUACCAUAUAUGUGUAUAUGCCAUGACAGAGUUAAAGAUUUCAGAGUAUGUUUUUAGAGCAUGCAUAUUUAAAGAACUAAAAAUGGGCAUAAAGAGGGUUAGGUGAUUACCCGAAUAAGGCAUGAGUUCAAGUAACUCUUAGCCUGAAAUCAUAUUUGCCGAUACGGGUAGAUUAUUAUUGUAUGCUGGCGACGGCCAUAUGGCGUAGUAGAUUCAGAGACUCCGACCCUUGCGGUACACUUGGGUUGGGGGCUUGGCUGCCGAGUUAAUGGCAGAUUCCAUAUAGCCCAUGGGAUUACAAAUUGUAGGGUACACCACCUAGAGCAGAAGUAAGACAAAGAGUGUCACAGAUUUUAGAUGUUUUCACAAAGUCUUUUAAAAUGCCCAUGUGAUUUCUUACUAUAUGAUAUGUUUAUGAACUGCUUUAAAUUGCUCUCAUAUAUGUUGAAUAUAAAUGAUUAUUUUGGAUUUGCUAUGCGUACCAAUACAUCUGUAUUGACCUCCCUCCCCUACCUCUUAGGUUCUGAGUCUUAGUCUAAGGAUUCAAAUAAGUAGUAGAUAAUUCAGACAGCAGAUCAGAUUAUGCAGUGGUGAGCCUUCUCUAUUCUAGAAGGCCUGUCCUUUUAGAUUAUGUCUUCUAUUACAUUUUUGGUGUACUGGGGGCCUUGUCCCAGUUUUCGGAUAAUUGUCAGAUUUUCAUGUAGUAGAGAUUUCGCAAACUAUUCCAGAUGUUAUUAGUGAUUUUCAAAUUUCAUUCCUUAUUGUUAAACUUAAUCCAGAGUAUGACCAUGUUUCCGUAUUAGAUCGUAAUUCCGCACUUUCUUUUAUUAUAUAAAUGUUGUUCAUGACUACCAGAUAGAGUAGGACGUCCGGGACUUCAUGGUUCAGGAUGUCUGUCAUGGCUAGGCCCUAGUUCGGGUCGUGACAUCCACCCUCUCUCGACACCUAUCUGGGCACCACAUGCGUAAGAGUUCUUCUAAAUGCAAAAUUUUCUUUUGCAUGUUAAGACUACAUUGUGACGAAAAUGUGAUAGUGAUAGGAAUUGAUUGUUCUCGCAGUAUAGAGCUAAUUUCUGAACUAUAUAUAGUCAAGUUUUUAGGAGAAAAAAAAGUGUAAAGGAGGUUUAUGAUUUUUUUAUUAGUGGAGAUUUCGUGCGGUCAGAAAUUAAUACAGACACAAAGGACUUUGUAUAUCCCUCAAGCUCUUCCACCAUACAAUCCUUAUAGAGGCUAUCAUGUUGCUCAUAUGUCAAUGGAGGUACCUUUUCCUGUAACAGCACCAAGCAGUUAUAGACCAGUCCAGGUGAUUGCAUGUUUAUCUCUGCCAUGUCAUUUGUGUUAGAACAAAGGACUAAGGGUUGAUAUAUUUUUUGACGUGCCUUAUCUUUGUGUUUAUUUUUAGGUUGUCUUAAUUCUUUUUUUGGUCUGGGUUUACUAUGGCUUAUUUUUUUAUGUCUAAAGCAUUAAUUUUAUUGUUAAACUGGUUUUAUCUGACUUUCUUCAGUAUAAUAGUGUUGUAUUAUGCUGAUCAUUUGGAGACUACUACUGCUAAUAUUAUUGAGACAAGGUUAUGCUUUUAUAGCUGGUGGAUGUAGCAUUUAUGCAGUAUAUGCUUGUUCUGAAGAUUACUGCACCUUGUAUGGUGUAGUUUGGGUUUUACUUUGUCAGUUGGUGCAACUAUUUUUGUCAAGAACUAAGCAAUAAAAUUGCGACACCUAUUAAUUAUCGCUCUCACGAUCUCUUGAUGACUAUUUGGAUGCCUAUUUAAAUAUUGAAUUUGUGAACUAGAACUUGAAGUUCUUAAAUUCAGCUUUAUCUUUCAGGACCGCAAUAUAGAUUGUUUGUUGCUAUUUUUAUACUCAGAGAUACUUGCAGUUAAUUUCCUCCAACUUCUCCUGCACUUAUGAUGCAUAUUUGUCAACUUAUCCAUAUUCAUAGGAGGUACUCUUAGAGUAACCCGUGUCUCUUUUUGGUAGUCCUUUCAUAAAUGAUUAUCUCUUCAUUUACGAAAGACAUGUGCAGUUCAUAUUUGAUCUUUAAGUAACUUGGCCUCAUCUCUAUAUGAUUUUUUAGUAAUUAUAGCAACUAGCAUUCAACUUUAUAAUGACAGACUAUAUCAUAGAAGUUAUACAAAUUGGAGAUAACCUCAAUACUAUCAAAUGAAAUUCUUGGCUAGAGAAAUAUUCUGUAACAUGGACGCCUAACUGGAGAUUGCCGCAAAUAGCUUAAUGCUUCAACUGUGGAUUAGAUUUCAUAUAUAAUUUAAAUUGUUGGCAGACAGGAUGUACAUGAAACUGCAUUUUGAUUCUGCUUAUUCAACAUGGAAGAUUAGUUUAUCAUCCUCAGGAGAUUCACUUUGGAGUGAAGGACUUCAUUGAUAUGAAUGAGCUUUAGCAUAGUCAAAUGUAAUAGGAGUAAUUCUUUUCUUUUUUAUGAUAACUCUUUUCUUUUUAUUUUUCAAUUCAAUGUAAUAAAGAAGAACACAAACUGAUAUAAACCUUGAAUUGAGUACAAGAAGUGGGCUUGCACUAUUGCUAAAUUAAGCUAUAGUUCUUGAAAAUUUGAUCUGGAGAAUUAUGAAAGAUAUCUCGCCUCACUUCAAGUUAUCAUACCGGUUGGACUAUAACUGAACAUUUUAACAACACUAUGACUUCGAUCAUUCUUUAGUUCAAAGCAUCAUUCAAUUUGUACAUAUUCUUAGGUAUUUGUAUUUGUUUAGAAAGAAUAAAAUCUUGAAUUAUGAUACUUUUAGAUCUAUGUUUGAUAUUGAUAGUCGAUCGUAUCUAAAGUAAACAAUUAGUGUUAUUUAAUGAUGUUGGGCCAUGCUCACAUGGGCAAAUCAUAUCUAGUUAAUUACUAAAACUCAAGUUUCAUUUAUUGAUGUGUUUAAUUAAUUUGUAGGUGUCAGGAUCCAAAUUACAUAAUCUUAUGGACACUCAUUUUAUUUUAACUAAAACUAGAUAGGAGAAUUCUUACUACCCAAUUAAUUAUUAUGUGAAAAUCUAUUAACAACCUCAAUAUAGUUGAGCAGUUCUAAGUGUAUUAAAUCGACAAAAUCAUAAAGUGAAAAUCCUAACAUGCAUUUUUAUGCAUAUUUGACAACAUACAACAUUAUCCAAGAUCUAGUUUAGACAUAUACAAGAGCUUCUACAAGAGACAACAUCAUAAAAGACACAAUUUUUGCCUGAAGGAGAGAUGCAAAGUUAAUGAUGAAUACGCACCAUCCACAUAAGAAAUUGUUAGUCAACCUGCAACACAACCUACUAUUCAAGAAGAAUAUACCAAGAGUAGUAUCAGUACACAACACAUACUGACGGACUUCAUCGAUUGACCAGGUUAGAAUUAUGUAACAACAUAAAGAAAUUAAGAAAAAUAAUCAUGACAACUUAAACUAGAGUAACAAUCAUUAUUCAACAACCAAUCAUUUAUUUUAGACUACUUUUGAUUAUCCUUGUUGUCAAAUUAUCCAAUUAGUUAUUUUAAACCAUCAUUAAGAUCAUUAAAGUACUUUUCCUCAGCUAUUACACCUGCAGUCGUACUUCAUAAGAAAUUCAAUCCCUAGCCCAUACGAUAUCAUCCUUUUCCAUAGAUCCAAUUGACAAUUUCACCAACCUCGUCAUUUACUACGUACACCCUCCUAUUUAUGCACACAUAUAUGAGGCAAUUAUAAGCAACUUAUACUCAACCCGUAACACAUAAUCUCAUUCAAUGUCUAUUAGCCACGAUGUACCAUGUGAGAUCAAUCGAUACCUCAAGUAAAUCACAACCACAAGUACAACAUAAAUUAAAAAGGAAAACCAUACCCAUCCACACAUACAAGUGUGAAAUCAACAUCUAAUCAUCAAUAUUGUCAACCAUCUCACAAGAACACCUAAAGUUUUGUAUUAUUAAAUUGCAUAUCAUAUAUUCCUUUUAUAAGUAAAUUCUUGCGAUUACAUGCUAAGUAUUAUAAAUGUUCACAUUAAAUACAGACAACUUUAUAAAGAUUCACUUAGUCCAAUAAAUUAAUGAUGAUAGUAAUUAGUUAUUUUUAAUUAUUGUCAUCUUUCAUGGUAAGAAUAAUGUUUUUGUAUUGAGCACACUUCUUUUUCAUUUAAAUUUAUGAUAUUCUUUUUUUCUGAAAAAUUUGAACUUAUGAGGCAAAUUUUAAAUUUUAUAAAAAAGUGAAAGCACAAUCUUGAAAAUGAAAUCUUAAUCUUUUAUGUGAUUUGAGAUUUGAAAUUAAAAUUCAAGUUAAAACUGAAAUUUUAUUUGAAUAUCAUAAUUGAACAUAAUUUAAAUCACAAUUUACAAUUUGACUUCCUCAUGUAAUGACAAUACUCUCUAUGGAAACCUUCAUAAAUUACCUUUACUAGUACUUUUUCUUCUUGUCCGAGGAUAUUAUUGAAUUAGCUCAUGUAAUAAAUUUAACUAUCAAACAAAUUAUAUAUGUAAUUAAUUAUAUCAUCCUAUAACAUUUCUGUAUACGUCUUGAUUAUUUUUUUUUUUCAAAAGGAUCAGACACACGGGAAUAGAAUUUCUAGUUUUAAACCUAUUUUCAUAUAAUAGGAGAUUGAAAGAUAAAUUUAACAAAACCUUGUUGAUGCUUUUUGAAUUGUUGGUUCGAGCAUUAAAUAAACUCAAAAUAUUGAUAAUUGAAUUAAUAGGUUCAUAUAUGAAAUUAUAAAGCUUCUUAGAAAUUAUUACAUCAAUAGCCUAACAGACAAAUAACAUUAAAUUAAUAUAAUUAACAAAUAUAUAUUUAAAAAAAAAAAGAUAGACAUCUAACACUUGCUCAGGGUCAUGAUUUUGAGCCUUGAUUUUAGAAAAAAUCUUGAUAAAUAAUAUUACCUCGAAUGAAUUUAUCCAAUAUAAAUUUAAAUUAAUCAAAUUGAAAUACAAAUAGGGGCUCUAAAAAAUUUCUGACUAACAACAUUUUUCCAUUUGGUUAAACCUAGAUUUAUACAUGUUCUACCUUGAGCUUUAGCUCUGACAAUAUUCUAAAUUCGCAUUCAUACUUUCCCAACUCGGAAAUUUUUAAAUUGGUUUAAGAGCACUUCCAAAUAUGGAAAACAAAAAAAGAAAGAAAAUCAAUGCAUAUAUGACAUCACAAAGUAGAUAGGUUUCGUGGAUAUUUGAAUUGACUUAUUUUUAGGUGUUUUUGUCUUUUAAAUAUUUUUUUUAGUUUUAGUGGUGUUUGGAAAAGUUAAAAAGUGCUUUUAAGCAAUUAUUUUUAGGUUAUAAAGUGUCAAAAUAAGCCAAAAGCCAAAAAAUAGAAUAUUACCAACUUAUGGCUUUUGACUUUUAGCUUAUAAACUACUUUUUAAAAGUCAAUCCAAACACCCCCUUAGUCCCUUGAAUUUAUUACUCCAUACGUUUAAGAGAAUUGAUUUAUUUUCUUUUUAGUUUUUUUUAACAAUGUUUUUACUUUAUGUUUACGUGACAUGUUUAAAAUCACAAGAUUAAAGAGUAUUUUGAUACACUUGAUAUAACUUUAAUUUAAAGUAACAAGAUUCAAAAAUUACUUUAUUUUUUAACUCCGUGCGAAGUCAAAAUAAAUCAUUCUUUUUUAAAACGAAAGAAAUAAUACAUAUUAUAUUUAUGCACUAGUUAAAUUAUAUUUAAUUGACCUUCUCAACUCUUAAUAAUGUGUUUCAAUGAGAUAUUUGUUGAUUUAACUUUAAAAAAAUUGUACUGGUAAUUUUAUUCGUUUAUUAAAUAAUUAAACUAACCAUAUAAAAUAUGUCAUUUUUUAAAAUUAUAUGCAUCAACUUUAAAUUAAAAAAUCUAAGAUUUAUAAAUUAUUAAGAAAAAUACAUAAAAAUAAUUUAUACUAUAUUUUAUAUAAUUAAUUUAAAUACCUAAUAUAUAUAAAUUAAAAUACACACAAAUUUUAUUUUUAAAAUUUAAAUUAAAAAUAUCUAAUUGAAGUACUCCACUAAAAAUAGAAGUCUUGAAUUUAAGUCUAAAUGACUAAAUGAGACAUCUUCAUAAAUUAGGGUUCACUAUGUAUUAAAUAAAAGACUUAAGUCAUCGACAGACACUUAAACUUGUCCCGAAAAUUUACUUAGACCCUUCAACUAAGACCUGUACCUAUCAGGCCCCUAACCCAUCUAAAUUUUGAUCCAAUCAGGCCUUUUUUGCCUACAUGGCACACUGCGUGCUGUGUACUCGCGGAAGGCACGUGAAAAGUAUUUUUUUUAACUAAAUAAUGAAUAAAAAGGUGUCAAGUGCACUGAGGGCCCCCAAAAAUUAUUAUAAAACAAAAUUAAAAAAAAAAUCCUCAACCAUAUUAUCCCCCCCCCCAACCAUACACAUACCCUCAUCCGAUGCCCCUCUUUAUCUUCUUCUCCCACUCUUCUUUCUCAUUUUUUUCUUAAACUUAAAUUUGUUCAUCUGAUACUUUUGUGAUUAGUUGAAAAAUCCAAAGUAAAUUUGAGGAGUAAUAUAUUUGCUACUUUGGUCUAGAGGCUCCAUGGAUAGGUUAUGUAAAGCUGAAAUAAUGGGAAUGUACAUGACAUAUAUGGAAGAAUUAUUAAUUGAUUUUGAUUUUAAUAUUUAUAUGAAAUUAUCCAUGUAUGAUUUUGAAUAUGAAAAUGCUCUACAAUUUGAUUUGGAAACCAAUAUGAUUCUUAAAAGGUUUCCGCCGUUAAUAUGACUUCAGGCAUAUGGUGGUGCAUCAUAUAUAUGUAUCAAAAAAUGGAACUUAACAUUUUUGAAGUGAAAACUAUGGGUCGGGGGUUGUGCGUGAAGACGACGGGGGAGGGGAUGAUGACGAUGACUGGGUGGGUGGGUGUGAAGACGCCGAAGAGGGUGUGAAGAAGACGACUGGGUGGGGGGUGGAUUGGUUUUAUUCUUUUUUAAUUAAAAAUUAUUAUUAAAUAGAUAUUUAAAUAAAAAAAAAAGGACAAAUUAGCAACUCCAUCAUAUAAUUAUUUUUUUGCCACGGGUUUUUUUAAUUGAUUAUUUUUGUCACGUCACGCGAGUGUGUUACACACACUCUAUACCUUUUGCUGAUUAGGCAAAAAAGACCUGAUUGGAUUAAAAUUUUGGUCUGAUAGGUACAGGCCUUAAUUGAGGGGUCUAAGUAAAUUUUUUGGACAACUUUAAGUAUUUAUCAAUGACUUAAGCCUAAAUAAAACAUAUACAUUAGUCACAGAUACAUCACUUUUGUCAUAUAAUUGAGGUGUGAGUUGAGUUGUGUCUAGGGUUCCCCAUUUUAGCUCUGCAAAUUCAAUGCAAUCGAUCACAAUAAUAUUUGCUCUUUAGACCACUGAGAGGUACACUUUAUUUAUUUCAAUUUUCUCUUUUUAUUUUCAGAAUUUUACAAGUGUGUCUCUUUGAUUUUAGGUUUUGGAGUUGAAGAAGAGGAAAAAAGGUGUUGUGCUGUGGUGGGCGAUUGAUUUAUUGUUGCAAAUGCCAAAAGAAGAUUUGGUUGAAGUUAAGUUCCGUUUGUUCGAUGGAUCAGAUGUUGGUCCCUUUUGAUUUUUCACCGACUUUCACCGUUGCUAUGCUUAAAGACAGAAUUAUUUUUGAAUGGCCCAAAGGUUUGUUCUAUUACUUUUUUCAUAGUUGAGGUAUUUUUUUCCUAAAAAUUUAUUAAUUGUUACAUGAUAAUAGGUAUCCCGUGAAAUUAGUUGAGGUGCGCAAAUAAGUUUCUUAGUUGUUUCUGGAAACUGAAAAAACAGGGUCGAAUAAAGAAAGCUAGAAUGCCUAUAUAUCUAGUGAUACACAUCAUCGUAAGAAUCAGUAUUUAGUGUCUUCUCCGCGUACAACUCAAAUAACUGUUCAAAAGAAUCUAUUUUGUUUGCAAUUUUUGCAAUUUUAGUAGUUGUUUUUGGUGAUUUUAGGCAAUUAAGUAAGGGAAGUUUUUGUUUGAGAUUUUGAUUUAUAAGGCUAAAAUGAAAAUGGCCUAAAGUUCACAUCAAAACUACGCGUCGUGUGCCUGUGAAAUUUUCAUCCUGGCCAUAUUUGGUAACUCCAUCCUCCCUCUUUCUCAUAUAGGAGAUACUAAAUUUCAGAUAUGAAAAUUAAGUGUUUGUUAUUCAAGUUUUGUGGAAUUGGUUAUUUUUGUGAGAUUUAAAAGCUUUAACACUGAUUUUGUGAAGGUUGGAUGAAAAAAAGUUACGGAAUCUACCAUUGUUGGGCAUUGAGAAUCGCUAGAUAGUGAUGAGUUACACUGAAUCGAGUAUGUAAUAAAUAGGAUUGGCUAGCUAACAAAAUUAGGUAUGUUUUACUUAUAAUUGUAGACUUGAUUUAGACUCUAUGCCUAUUUGUAAGUUGAAUAUUUGUGAAUUGCUUAAAACAUACUUGUAAUUGGUAAGCUUGGUUGAUAUUAUUCUCUUUAACUCUCUUUUUUUUUUCUAAAAUAAAGCUACAGUGUUGUUAGGGCAUUCUUCAUGUUCUCAAAUAUAAUAGAACUGUAGAAAAAGAAAAUUAAAUGAAUUAAGCAUACAUAUUAUGUGAAACCCAAAAAAAUUUAAAAAAAAAAAACUAAUUCAUAAGUAACGAUGGUCGGCAGAUGUAUACAAUUGCCUAAAAGGACUUCCACGUAAAACUUUUUAAUUGAAGACAAAUCUAUGUGACACACCUCUCGAAUACGAGCAACCCUUUAUACACACAAAUUGGAGAUUGCAUGUUUUGUUGGUUUAUGACUUUAGUGUAUGUUGAGAGCAUGUCAAAUUGCCCCUCCUCUUCUUCAGAAGGAGUGAUAUGGACUGCGUAUAAUUACCCUCCUCAGACCCCAUUAUGUAAAAAUAUACUGGGUAUGUUGUUGUUGUUGUUGUUGGGAGCAUGUUAAAUGAGGUAAAUGAUUAAUGCAUGACUAUUUGACUGGCUUGGUAGCUAUAAUACAUGAUUUUUAAGUGUAUUUAAAGUGUUAAGUCAAUUAGAAGACUUUAUAUCGAUUUAUGACUUGGUUUUUUCUGUAUUCCGGAUAUUUAUUUAUAUUUUCAUAUUAGUAAAUAGAAAAAAAAAAGACACGGGGGUGACAGUUUUCUGAAUAUAGUUGAGCUAUUAAAGUUGAUGUUAACAGAUGAACUAGACUGUUUUUGGCUAUGACUAAACUGUGUUUUGCUUCAUCUCCAGCUUACUAUUCUAAUCUAUUCAUACUAUUUGAGCCAAUGUCAAUGAUUCUCUGUACACGUACAACCAAAUAAGCUUGGUGACUAAGGGUUAAUAUUCCAUGCUUGAAGUUACUUGUGUUUGCUCUAUUAUUGCCUUACACUUUAUUUAUUCACUUUGUUGAAAUUAUCACUAUCAUGAUUUUAGUUGUGUUUUUCUUCAUCUCUUGUCAAACCGCCACCAAGCGAAUGUCUUUUCGAUCAAUAUUUUUUCAACAUCUGUGCAGGUAAUUUUAAGUAUUUUCUCAACCAUGGCAACGCUAUGAAUGCAUAACUGCCAAGAACAAUGAUACAGUAACUAACUGUGUUACUGUUUUCAUUUUUUGGACAAAACUAACUUUUAUCACUAUGUAAAUGUGUUAAUAUAUAGACGGUGUAAUCAUGUAUGUAUAUAUCACCAACUUAAACAAUAUCGGGUAUACAAUACUUUCUUCUCUUGCAUUGAGAUUAUGCAUUGACAAUAUUAAUUCUACAUUCAAAAGUUUUGCACAGAUGCAUAUAGGUAAAUGUUGGGCCCGUGCUCGCACGGCCAACCGUCAUCUAGUCCCUAAAAGAAAAACCAAUUUAUUUAAGUAUGAAACACAGAAAAGGUUUUUAAGGACUACUAGCGUGUACUUGUGUUACGCCUGGGAGAAUCUCAAAAAUAGACCCAAAUUAGGGUGGCUUUCAAAUUUUAGCCCCAAAUAAAAAGACUUUAUUAAAAUAACUUUUACUUAUUAACUCAUACUUUUUUGGACGAAAAUACCCCUCCAAUAUAUUAGCCUUUAUUUCUUCCAAAACAAAACACUCUAACUUUCUUUCAAAACAAAACAUCAUCGCUCUUUCUUUCAAUCAAAUAAAUUCGCACGAUCAUCAUUCUUUCUUCCUAUCAAAUAAAUUCGCAGCCGUAAGAUUUUUUCAGGUAAGAACUUCAUCAUCAUAAUUCUCUAAUUCUUUGGGGGUAAUUGGGUGAAUUUUAGCUCUGUGUAAACAUCUAAUUUGCAGUAAAUUUAAGCUUAUUGAUGCAUUGCGAAAAAUUUUAGCUCGUUAUAUAAUUAGCAUAUUAAUUUGAUUUUUUGAGAGGUGAACGUAAGCUGGAGUUGGGCUAUUCUAUUGUUGUAGUAACAUAUUUUCUAUUGAGGAAUUGUGUUGAACAAGUUGUGUGAAGUUUAUUACCACGGUUAUAAUUGUGUUUGAGUAGUUGUGGAGGGUUAGUCUUGGAGAAAAAGGUUUUAAGCAUGUGACUGUAAGCAUAAAUAUAUUAUUUAUAAAUUUGGACCACCACUUAUCAAGAAUUUUCUAUUUGGUUAGACAUUCAUUUGAUUAUUAUUGAUUAAUGGUGUCAAUUAUAUGUAGGUGGUCAUUGGCAAUGAACUUGUAGGAGAUUUAGUUAGUUAUUGAUAUCGAUGGAUAAGAGGAAUUGAUUGUGGAAAAAGAGACCUUCUAAGAAGAGCAUUGGUGAAACUGAGAGUUUUAGUUCACUCUCUUCACAUUCAGAAUGACACUCUGAUGAAUAGGUACAAGGCAAAAGAAAGAUUUUUUUUUGUUCAUAGGAUGUCCUGAUAAUCUCUUUCUGGCCUUCUAAUUGAUUGUGCUGAUAUAAGGAAGCUAAUACUUUGAUUUGAGUAUUCGUACUCAAAUAUUUAUAUUCAUGUUUAUUUCAAGCUGAAAUGGUCGAGCUAAAUAUUCAGCUCGUGUUUUCAUAGUUAGAAAGUGUUAUAUUACCAAUGGUUAUACUUAUAAAACUUUAGUAUGCUUCAAUGCCUUCUGCAAAUAUUGUAUCUUAGCAACUCUGGUCGUCUUUCAUGUAUUAUAUCUUUAUUUUUCUCCUACCUCUUUCUCACUGAGUUGUGUCUACCAGUUCUUUGGAACUGUAGGAUUCAAGUUUCAGACAUAAAUAUUUGAGAAUCCUUUGUUUUUCAAUGAACUAUUGUCAAGAAUUUGUCAUUUGUCAUUUUAGUAUGCUUGGAAGUUGGAAGCUUCAACUUUAAAUUGAUCCAAAAUAUCAAUGACUUAAUUGUAAAAGUGGAAGUAUGGGAACAACAUUUAGUGUUGGAGCCAGCUAGCUACCUAGUAAAUGGGCACUUGAAUGAUAUUUUGUAUAUUUAGAUUUUGUAGAAUUUAUAUCCACUAAAUUUACUCUCUACUAAAUUUGAUGUGGUAGUGAUAAAUUUAUAGUUUUAAAUAACUUAAACUCUGUAUUCAAAGAUUCUAGUUCUGAUGUCAUGAGUCUUAAAUCCGUAAGCCAAAAGGCUAAUAUAGGUGUGAAAGAAAGUUGAUUAUUUCAGUCCCUUAAUUGUUGAUCAGCCAGAGUAUUAAGAGAAAAGUUAAAUGACUGCUAGUUAGUUUCAUGUGCAUUUUACAUUUUAUUAGCUAAUAUAGUAAUGAAAUUUUAUCCUAAGCAUGAUGUUGUUAUGUGCUUGCCUUUUUUUUUUUUGGAUAAUUCCUUGUUAGUGCUUGUUAACUUCACUAUUCUCACUUCAACACUUGCAAUUUCUGCUAUUUGGAGCAGGAUCCGUUAAAAGAAACUUCAGAAAAUAACAACCAGUCACCAAAAGUAACCUCAAAAGCAGCAAUUAUUGAUAAUGAAGCCAAGAAAAGCCCAAAGAAGUUGAUAGAAAAGUUAUCAGCUGCUCUGAUUAAUAUUACUGCUAAAGAAGACUUAGUUAAGCAGCAUGCUAAAGUGGCAGAAGAAGCUGUUGUAGGUAUCUUCAACCAUGCCUUUCUUAGAGAUAGUCUAGACAAUAACCAUCCUUUUUGUUGUACAUGAAUUAUAACCAUGCCUCAUGGGCAAGACUUUAGAAAAUUGUUGAAAUUGAAAACUUUUGCCCAAGAGUCAACAGUUUAUUAAUUAAUUACAUUGAUUAGAUUAUUAACAUAUAUGCAACUCUUGCCUCAUGGGCAAGACUUAGUUUAGAAAAUUGUGGAAAUUGAAAAAUUUUACCCAAAAGGCAAAAGUUUAUUCUUUAAUUGCACUGAUUAGAUUAUUAACAUAUAUGCAACUCUUGCCUCAUGGGCAAGACUUAGUUUAGAAAAUUGUGGAAAUUGAAAAAUUUUACCCAAAAGGCAAAAGUUUAUUCUUUAAUUGCACUGAUUAGAUUAUUAACAUAUAUGCAACUCUUGCCUCAUUGGCAAGACUUAGUUUAGGAAAUUGUUAAAAUUAAAAACUUUUGCCCAAGAGGCAAAAGUUUAUUCUUUAAUUGCAUUGAUUAGAUUAUUAACAUAUAUGCAACUCUUGCCUCAUGGGCAAGACUUUAGAAGAUUGUUGAAGUUGAAAACUUUUGCCCAAUGGGAAACAAUUUAUUCUUUAAUUGCACUGAUUAGAUUAUUAACAUAUAUGCAACUCUUGCCUCAUGGGCAAAACUUAGUUUAGAAAAUUGUUGAAAUUAAAAACUUUUGCGCAAGAAGCAAAAGUUUAUUCUUUAAUUUCACUGAUUAGAUUAUUAACAUAUAUGCAAUUCUUGCCUCAUGGGCAAGACUUUAGAAAAUUGUUAAAAUUGAAAACUUUUUCCCAAGAGGAAAUAGUUUAUUCUUUAAUUACACUGAUUAGAUUUUUAACAUAUCUAGUAAAUGAGGAAAAAAGAUGAACGAUAUGGGUUCCUAAUGAACAGGAUGUGGGAUCUAAUGUGCAAACUACUGAUCAAGUUAGAAACACCAAUGAACAGACUCCUAAUGAACAAGAUGUGGGCUCUAAUGUGCAAAAUGCUGAUCAAGAUGUAGGUAUUGCUGAGCAAAGGACUGAUCCAGAUGGAAACACUAAUAAACAGUUUCCUAAUAAACAAGAUGUGGACGUUGUUGAGUAAAAUGCUAAUCAAGAUAGAAAUGCUAAUGAACAGAGUCCUAAUGAUCACGAUGUAGGUGUAGCUGAGCAAAGUGCUGAUCCAGAUGGAGACACUGAUGAACAGGUUCCUAAUGAACAAGAUGUGGGUGCUACUGAGAAAAAUGUUGAUCAAUAUGGAGAUGUUAAUGAACAGGUUUCUGAUGAACAAGAUUUAGGAGCUGCUGAGCAAAAUGCUAAUCAACAUGAAGACAUUAAUGAACAGAAUCAUGAUCAAGAUGGAGGCACCCCAAUGAACUGAAUGAAGAUGUAAAUCAACUAGCUGAUUUAAUAGAUAAUAUGAACCAACUAAUGACGAAAAUACAGACAUUGAUAGCCUAUUCAUGCUGAUCAAAAUGCAGAAAGAUAUACACUUUCUGGAUAGACUAAUUAGACUUCAUACUUACAAAAAAUGCUAAUUCCAUAAUUGUGUGGUAUUCUGUUUUGAGAUUGCAGUACUGCCAUUAUCUAUAUGCUGCUUAGUUUGUUUUUAAUUUCUCGAUACAGGUCAUCUGUCAAGCAUUUGAGUAUAAUCGACCAAUUAAAAGUUACUACUGGAUUUCUGAUUUAUUUCCUUAUAUUUUGCAUAACACUUGACAGUAAAUGCUACUGAACUUUAGUAUUGGAAAAUAUGAUGUUUUGCUAUAUGAUGAAGUUAGAUUAGCAGAUACGUUUGAAAAUUGUGGACCUAAUGAUUUUCGAUUUUCACUCUUAUUCCGAAGAUAUAAGGCGGUCUCCCAUAUCUUUUGUAGUGCAAUUAGAGAAUAAACUGCUCAUAUAUAGGACAAGAGAAAGGAUAUUUGAAAAAUGAGGAAAAAAGAUGAAUGAGAAUGAAUAUCUAAGGAAAAUUCUGGGAAAAAAAAGAGAAAUUAAAAAAACUCUAAAUAAAGGUUAAAAACAACUAAAUUAAAAAAAAAAAAAUGAAGAAAUAGAUAAUUGUUGAAAAAAAAAAAAGAGAAAAAAAAAAGAUUGAGACAAAUAAAUUAAAAUAUGAAAAUAAAGUUAAAGAAAAAAAUAAAAAUUAAAAAUAAUAAUAUCAGAAUAAUAAAUUUAAUUAAGAAAAAAAUAAAAAAGUUAAAAAAGUAGAAUUAUAAAAGUAAAGGAAAAAUUAAAAAGUAAAAUUAAUAAAAAAUAAAAUUUGAGAGAUAAAUGAGUAUGGAAAGUUUAAAAAUAUAUUUGAAAUAUAGAGGAGCAAAAUGGUACUUUUAGUAUAUUAAAAGGCGAGGAAUGUUAUUGUUCAAAGACAUUCUUAUUUGGGGUCAAAUAUCUAAACACAUAUUUGAGUUAUGGCAUGCAAUUUCCUGAUUACGUCCACCCUUAAACCCGAUGUCUGUUUAGGGUUUAUGGAAGCUCUUAAAGACAACACCGUAGAAGGCAAUUCUGUAGGUCUCAAGCUGGUGCCAUGGCUAAGCUGGAAUGAAUGGAACUCCAUUCGCCAUUCCCUCUUCUCUGCUUCUCCAGCAUCUGUUGCUUUUGCUCUUCAAAGGGUAACACACACACACCUUUUUAUCUUUUCCUUUCUAAAUUGUUGUCCUGUGGAAACGGCCUCUUGCAAAAUGCAAGGUAAGUUUGGUACAAUACAUUGUGGUCUUUAGUGCACCGGGAUGCCUUUCUUUUUUCAAUAAAAUUAAAUGUUUUUCUUUUGGAUAUUAGAUAUGGACGUGGAGGAGCAGAGGUUGCAUUCCUAUUGCAGUGGAUGUUACUACUGCAAUUAUUGAAAUUCAACAGAAAGAUCCUUUUUUCAGGUGUCUCAUCCUGUAUUGACUUCUUUUUCUUUUCUUUUUUUUUGGAUAAUCCAAGGGGUUUUCAAUUAUUUGUUAAAUUGCUAUGUUGAUAUAUCCUCUAUGUUAAAGUGAACCUUUUUCUUGCUUUCUAUUCUUUUGUAGGAAGGACCUAGGGGGCAAUGCCUUGCAGUCUGAAGAAAUGCUCUCAAUGCUAUAUUGCAUGGCAAUUAUGAGGUACAUUUGUUACUACUUCCUUUUUUUGUUGUUGUCAAUUCUAUUGUAUCGUGUUGUUAGUUUAAACAAAAUAUUUUUUUCUUUAUUACUUAAAUUUUGUUAUAUCAUAUAGCUUAAAUCCAUUGUUAGAUAACAGGGAAAAGUCUCAUUUUGUGUAAUGACCAGUUUUGUGUGAUCACGUUGUUACCUUCUUCUUUUUUCUCAUUUUGUCUUUAUUUUAUUAUUUAAUAUUUCCAUUUUAUUCUCUACCCUACUUAUUUAUAUUAACUCUAUCUCAUACCCUACUUUUCUUGUAGAUUUAUCCUUAGAAUUUUUGAUAUGUGAAAUUGUGUAAGGAUGGAAAAUGAUACAAUUUAUCCAAUCAUUGUAUUCAUUAAAACAAUAUAGUACAAUAGAACACAUCAUAAUAUGAUACAUUGAGACAAUAUGUAACAACCAUCCUAACAAAGAAAUUGUGAUGUUAUUUACACUUCAAUUUCUUUGUAGUUGUAUAAGACAAAGAAAUUUGUUUUUUUCUUAUGAACCAAGAUUGUCUCGAAAAGUAUAUGUACGAGAUUAACCAUAUGGAUCAGCUACAUUCAUCUAUCAAAUUUGCCUAACUGUCAAAUACAACGAGGAGUCUUUUCUUAAUACCAUAAUAACACUAAUGAGAUGUGUUUUUUUAAAAAAGAAAUUUUGAUUAUUAUCGGCAGUAUUUUCAUAGUUAUGAAACUAGUUAGACGGAAGUACCUUCACUUCGCUUAUGCCAUUAUUUACACAGUAAAGAAAGCAAGUGUGGUGGGGAUUUUCUAUUCUUUCAUUCCAUACAGUACUACAGUACAAGAUAUGCACUAUUAGCAAUGUUUUCUACAGCUUCCUUGUUGCUGCUGGUUCUCUAUAAUUCUGAGCACAUGGUGCUUCUCCCAAUGUUCUUGGUGCCGUUAUUUAAUUUAAUAUGAAAACACCAUUGGAUGAAAAUUGAGACUGUUACUUUGUUUGAGAUUUCCUCCUUUAUGCUUCAGUUUAUUCAUUUUCAACAUUUCAUCUUUUCCCUCUUAUUUGUGAGGGUACUAUGAUUUAAAUGGUGGAACUUUAGGAUAGCCGUUGAGUGGAUGAGUUUGUGUUUUCAGCAAGUAAAAUUAGCAUAAUAGGGUAAUUAUUUUCUUCCAGGCUUGUAAAUGGUGUUGUUGAGAAGACCCAAAAGAAGGCAGAAAUCUCAAUAGCCGAGGCAGUAAAUGCUAUUGGCAUUCCACGAAUGUUGGUUGAUGUUCGCCAUGGUGAGUGUUUAUGCGUAUUUGCAACUUUGAUAUGAAAGAUGUUGAUUGUUUGAUGUAAGUCAGCUAUACAUAACUAUUGACCAGAUUAAAUUUCUGUUACUGCUUUUGUGAGGAGUAACCAAGUAAUAUAGCUAUCAGGAUGUUGCUUUAUGUUCUCAAUCUGCUGCAGGCUUAAAGAAACCGAGAAUGUUUUACUAUGUGUUACUUAAUCUUUGCAUCAGUUAGCAAUGCUUGUUUUGCUGCAACUUCUAACUGAAUUCUAAUGUGAAAACAUCUGACUUCUUAACAUUGUUUAAUAUUUCCUUGUAGAGGGUUCUCAUCGUGAUCUUCCUUCACUGCAGUUGGUCCGUGUUGCCUCUACCAAGGUCAGUGUGCUCCUUAGUCUCUAUAAUUUUUUUGCUUAAUGUGAAUAUCUCUUUAAUUUCACUUACUGUUGAAGACUUGAAGCUGUGACUCCUCCUGAAGUUUCAUCCGUUUUUUUAAGAUUAAUGGUUGUAUUCAUAAUGGAUUUCUGCUAUCAAUACUGAGAUGUAUUGUGGUUUACAGCGGUAAAACUAACUGGAAGAGGCACAAAUUUACACUUGCUUAGAAAGAAAGCCUAGAAAUGUCUCUGACAAGCGACAACAUGCAUCUGGUAGAUCUUCUGCUUCAGCAGUAAAUUUUUCUCAUUCUCUAGUUACCAAAAAAUGAUUGAUUUCUGGAAUCUGUAUAUAGAUGUAUCUAUGAUGCGUCCAUCCAAAAAAGAAAAGGAGUUGUAGCUGUGAAGCUUGUGCCAUUCUUGAUGCUCCCUUUUCAGCCUAAGCUAUACUAAAUAAACAGACUUCACAACCCUAGUAGGAAUUGUGUUGCUAAGGAGACCCUCUUUUUUUUUUGAACAUUGUUAAAUUGGUAUUCUUCACCAUGAGGAUGUGCUGGCCACCUUCAGAAAUUACAUCACCUUAAUCAAAAUUAUAGAUUUCCUAUUAGAUCUACAAACUCAUCUCCAUCCACUAUAUAUAGUUGUUUACACCAAAAAAGUAAAGAUGCUAAAAAUUCCAUUUUACUUUUUGAAUGGAAUUGGAUUUAUCUUCAAAACAUCUCCCAUUUCUUUCUAUCCAUAUGGACCACCAUAUGCAUGAUGGAAUCAGCUUCCACCACCUCUUCUGAGUCUUGCUUCCUCCUCUUCUGAUCCAGCAGCUAUAUAAAUCUGUUGUGUGCUCAGGCAUGGACCAAUUGUAACUGUUGAUGUUGAGAAAGAGUUCCGAGAGUUGAGCUGUGUAUACUUGCAAUGCAUAAAUACGUGACUAUUAGUCUCCCCUGUCAGGUUGCAUAGAAAGCAUCUAGGGACUAGUGGACCUUCCUUUCUUCUGGAAGACUUCUUGGAUAAGACAUGCUAGCUCUUUUAAUCACUAGCCAAGUGAAACACUCCACCUUUGUAGGAAUCAAGCCUCUCCAUAUGGUCUUCCAUUUAUAGUUAUUAUUUCCAGGCCCCCCUUGUAUCCCUUGUUUGUGUGAGCUAUUAACUGUGAACUUUCCAUCCUUCUUGUGUUUCCAAAUGAUCUUGUAUGGUACAUUUGUGUUUAGUUUAGUUCCUUCCAAUUUUUCCAGUAGGAAAGCCACCCUAUUUACUUCCCAGUCAUUAAGUAGCCUUCUGAAAUAGAGAUUUCACCCGUGUACAGACCAACAUUCAUUGAUCCUAUUUUCUGGAUUGGUGCUAAUUGAGAAGAGGUCCGGAAAUAACUCACUCAAAGGAUUUUGAUCAAUCCAACCAUCUUUCCAAAACUUGAAUGUCACGACCCGAACCGGGGCCCUGGCCGUGAUGAGCAUUCCGAACCAUGAAGUCCCGAAACACCCCUAUUUGUCUGAUAAUCAUACACAUAACUCAUAUGAUAAAAGAAAUGCGGAAGAUAAACAAUAUUACAGAAACAUGGUCAAGAAUCAUAUGAAAUCAAUAACGGGGAAUAAUGUCCCACAAUCUCAACACAACAUCUCUAUAACGUCUGCGAAAUCUCUACUACAUGACUGAAACAAAUAUCUAUCUGAAAACUGGGACAAGGCCCCCAGUAGACCCAAAACUAAUAAAUUAUAAGUAAAACUGCCAGAUAUCAGGCCUUCCAAAAUAUAGAAGGCCCACCAAGUGACUCUGCAAAUCUGUUUGAGGAAUCUACUGAUUUUCUGGACCUCUAGACUAUGCCUCCGAACUUGGGAGGGAAGGGGGUCAAUACAAAAAUACUGGUACGCAGAGAUAUCAAAACAAAACAUAAUAUUUUUACAAAAUAUAGUUGAGAGCCAUUAUAAAGCAGUUUCAUAUCAAAUCAUUUGAAAACACAUGGGCGUAAUGUAAUUGUUUUCAACAACAAUGUAAUGCAGCUGCGUUAGGUGGAAUACCCUACAUAUAACAUUUACACCAACUAAACCUCGGUUGCCGCCUAGAUUAGAGUAUAAGUGAGAGGAAGACACACAAGAUCACACAGCAAGGUGUCUCGACCCAAUGGUAGUGCAUAAGAUCACAAAGCAGGGCUCCUAACCAUAGUCCCAACUUGGGAAUGACAUAAGGUCAGGUACGCAAGAUCACAAAGCAAGGUAUCAAAUUCCCAUGUCGGCAAACACGGUUUCCAGCGAUGAGCCCUUACACUCAAUCGCCUUCUUCAGGCAUCUACCUAUCUGAUGUAAAAUCAAUGCAUUCAAAUUUUAUCUGAUUCAAUCACAUAUCAUAUUCUGUAGGGUAUUGUCAUACCCGACUUGCAAGCCAUCAAUAUCACAUCAUUCUUCUCAUUCAACCAUUGUAUUCAACAUGUUUCAACACAACAUUUUUCAAUUUUGUUCAAACUCAAUUCAUCUUUUCAAAACUUAAUCAAAUCUUAAAGAAUGAAUUCUGAACGUGUUAAAGUUGUAUUUUUUGUGGAUGGCAAAAUUAUUCACGAGAGAAAAACAAUAUAUUAUAAUAUGUCCCCCAAGUCCAACGCGAAGUAUCUAAUUUUAAUUGGUUACAGAGAAUUUAUAAAAUCAAUUUUUAGAAGAAUGAAAAUAAAAAGUGAUGAUUUUGAUUUAUUUGUAGUCGGCCAGUAUCCAAUUUCCUUCUCAUCACAAAGAGUGGUAAAUUAUGGAGAAUGGAUUAUCAGUGAUGAUGAGUCGUUGACUGAAUUUCUGAGGGCUCGUCCAAAUAGUACGGUAAUCUAAAUUACGAUUCAUUUUAUCGGCAUAUGCAACUGCAUCUCCGUCAGUGCGCAGUCCAAAUAACGCCUCCACGUCCUGAAAAGUGACAAGUGUACAACUCACUUUUUAAGUAAGUUAUUUAUUUUGUUUUUACACAACUCACUUUUUUUUUGAGUUAUAUGUUAAACAUAAAUAAAAGAUCCAAAAAGGUUUUAUGUUUAAAGUGAGUUAUGUACAUAACUCACUUUUUUUGUGAAUUAUGUUGAAACAAAAUGAAUAAGUCAUAUUUUUUGUGAGUUAUGCAUACUCACAAAAAAGUGAGUUAACCAUAUUUAUGUACCAUUUUAAAUAUAUGACAUAUUUUGAUACUUUUUUUUAAAGAUGGUCUAUUUUUUAUUUCAGAUUCGCAUUUGCACCUCAUACUUUAGAAAAUUGUUCAUUUUUACCCUUCCUUUUACUUUUUGAUCGUGCUACCUCAUUUUAUACUUUUAAGGAUCGUUUGUUGGAAAAAAGUUAUCCGGAAUAAAUUAUCCAGAAUAGGUAUAUGAGAUAAUUUAUUUUAUUACUAUGAUGCAAAUUAUGAAAUAAAUAAUGUUGAGGCUAUUUAUACCUCCAGGCAAACAUAAGAUAAAAUAAUUUUAUAUUUAUUCCAAAAUUAUUAUAUCAUAUAUCUUACAUCAAACGACUCUUUAUACUAGUAACUAUAUUUUGUUCAGAUGUACCAUUUGCUCUACCAAAGAUAAGGAUAUAUAAAGGUUUCUCGUCCAUAAGGCCACUUAGGCAAUUGGUUAGGCUCCAAAAUUAUGGAGCCCCAAAUCUUCAAGAAAAAAUAAUUUAUAUAUAUAUAUAUGUAUGUAUGUAUGUAUGUAUGUAUGUAUGUAUGUAUGUAUGUAUGUAUGUAUGUAUGUAUGUAUGUAUGUAUGUAUAUAUUUGAAAUCUCUUAUCAAAAUAAAAAGAAAAAUAACUCAUAGUUUUUUUUUUUAGGAGGGGGAGGGGGGUGGGGGGAAUCUAAAUAGAAUUCUACAUAGAAUUUUCUUUAUCAUAAAAAUAAUAAUUCAUUAUUACUAUGAUAUUGUGGCCGUUUGGGGCAUUGAAAAUAAAAGAAUUAAUUGAGAAAAAGUCAAAUUGUCAUAUUUUGGGAUCAUAUAUCAAUAAUAUGGCUACUAUAUUUAUUCUUUUAGCUUUUCCUUGAUGCUCAUUAUUUACCAAAAAAAAAAAAAGCGACGUUCUGGUAUUAGUGUGUUUCUUUGUUUUUCUUUGAUAUUUUAUUCUUUAAUCCUCAUUCUUAAUUAGCUCGAAAUCAAUUGACCAAAUACUAUUUUAAGAGGAAAAAAGAAUCAAAAUAUACUAUACAAGAUAUACUUAAAAAAAGAAAAUCUAAGGAUCGUAAAUUUUGAAAGAGCCAAAGUUAUUUUACAAUCAAGUAAUUCAUAUCUUGAAUUGGGUUAUAUUUCUCUAUUUUUUAUUAGUUUUUCAUACAUCUUUUAUAUUAAUAAUUCAUACGUGGAGAGUGUUUUUAUUAAUUCUUUUAAAAUUUAGUUCUGUCAAAUAAAAAAUAUGAAUUUGGUUAUUCAAAACUUUUAUAAAAAAAGAAAAGAAAAAUUGAAACAUUAAUACAAUCACACAAAAAAGGCUCUUGAUAAAUUCUAGUGAACAAUGAAAAUAUCGAAUUGAAAAUUUGAAAGAAUGUUCAUUAUAUGAACAACAUAGUAAGUUAGUUGAGAUAAAUGAUAAUUGUAAUAACAACAAUAAUAGUAACAAUAACAAAAUUCAAGAAGAAUAAGAAGUUAGUGACAAAAUGAACAUCGAUCCCUAACUUUUAAACAAAUAUAAUUUUUGUCUUAGGCCUUUGAAAUGGUUGAGAUGCCCCUGAUUAUAUAGAUAAAGUAUAAAGUAAAUUUGAUCACUCUUUCAAAGUAUAAAGAUAAUUUUUUUUUCAACUACAAGAAUAGAUGAGGGGGUCAAAGAUUUCAUGUUGGGAGACCUGGAACACUCAGAGAGGUGCCAGGAUUACGACUAUUGUAGGCGUAUCAAUGUUGAGGAGGUCAAGGGUUCUAUUCGCAAGAUGCGGAAGGGUCAGGCGAUCGAUCCAAAUGAGAUUUCGAUGGAUUUUUAGGAGAGCCCUAAUGGAGCAGGUGUGAAGUGGUUGAUAAGGUUAUUUAAUAUCAUUCAAGGCGACGAAGAUGCCCGAAACUUGGAGAUGGAGUAAGAUGACUCUAUUGUAUAAGAACAAGGAAAAUAUUCUGAGUUGCAAUAACUAUAGGGGGGUCAAGUUGUUGAGUCAUACUAUAAAAGUUUGAAAAGGGUGGUAGAGUUGAGGUUGAGGGUGAUCGUGAAUAUUUUCGAGAAUCAGUUCGAUUUUAUGCCAGGUCGCUUAACUACUGAGACAUUUACCUCGUGAGGAGGUUAAUGAAGCAGUUUAGGGAGAGGAGGAUGGACUUGCACGUGAUGUUCAUCAAUCCCAAGAAGUCGUACGUUAAAGUCCCCAGGGAGAUUCUGUGAAGAUGCUUGGAAGCUAGAGAUAUGCCCUUGGCAUAUAGUAGGUUGAUUCAGAACAUGUACGAAGGAGAAAAAACUUGUGUAAAGAUGGUAAGAGGAUAUUCAAAGUACUUUUCUAUUUUGACAGGGUCACACUAGGGAUCGUCUCUUAGCUCAUUUUUAUUUGUCUUGGUGAUGGAUAUUUUGAUGCGGUGUAUUCAAGGUGAGGUGUUUGUAUGUUAUUUGUUGACGACGUUGUACUAAUUGAUGAGAGCCAGAGAGGAUUUAAUGAUAAACUGGAGGUUUGGCGACAAACCCUAGAGUCUAAAGGGUUUAGGUUAAGUAAGACUAAGACAAUAUACUUGGAAUGUAAGUUCAGUAGUCCGACGCAUAAGGCUGACGUGGUAGUGGAGCUGAUUUCUCAGGACAUUCAAAAGAGGGAUAGUUCUAAGUAUCUUACCGAUAUGAUUUAGGAAAAUAAAGAGAUUGACAAGGACGUCACGCACCAUAAUUUUUGCCCUCCACAACUAAGUUUAAUUUCGAGUUUCUUUGAUGUUAAAUAAAAUUACAACAUUUAUUUUAUCCAAAUAAAAGAACUUUUCAAGGUGUUUAUCGGGGUGAUUUUUCCAUUUAAGUAACAAUUAUAUAUUUUGUAUUCACAUAUACGGAAUCAUAUAAUCUUAUUAUUUAAAUAAUUAUUUUACAAAAAAUUGAAGUUCAAUCAAGGGUUCUCUUAAAAAUUGAUUCAAAUGGUUAAAAUCUUGAUUUGAAUAUAUUAUUCUCAAAAAAUAAUUUAUUUUAAGAAAUAUUUGUUUGAUUUUAUUUAAUCACGAAGCUCAAGAUUGAACUGGCUGUUGAUUUAUUUUAAAGGUUGUUUUAAUUUAGUCAAUUUAUUAAAUUGGACCCUAAUUGAAACCAAUUCGGUCAUAAUUGUAAUGCAAUUGGUCAAUUGAAUUUUAGUCAGGCUUAAAUUUAAAUGCAAUUGUCUAAACUAUCAUUUACUGGCUAUUUAAUAAAUAGCCAACAUAGCCAUUCGCCUUAAAUAUUCAUCAGCCCUUUCCAGCCCAACAAUAACGUUGUCAACAACCCAACAAUAACAAUUAGACCCGACCCACUCUUACUUUCUCUUCUUUCAUACUUACAACAACAAUAGGCACCACAACGUGCAAAUAACACCAGCGUACAAUAGCUUCAACCAAAUCCAACAAAGCUCUAGGCGUUUCUUUUUACCAACAACCGCAACCCAUCAGCAAAAAACGAUCGAACCCGACAAAACUCUAGCCGUUUCUUUUUACCAAUUUACCCUUCCACACAAUCGAGAAUGGCUAGGGUUCCAUCCACUUUUCCCUUUCUCAGCUGGUGCACGUCCAUUUUCGGCAAGGUUACAACGAAUACCUCCUUCCCCGUGUGUUCUCUCUCUCCCUACUGACUUUCUAGGACCAAGGCCAUUAAUGGCCUUUGUCUUACUGUGGACCUCAAAUUUUCCAAGAAAACCAAUUCCAAAAUUUGGACUUGAAAUCCAUUCUUUUAAAACCAAAAACCCUAAUUCCCCCCCCCCCCCCCCCCUCAAUUUCCCCUAUAAAUAGACAGUGAGGGAUAAAUGGAGAAGGGGAGGAUUUUGGGAAAACAAUUGGAGACUUUGGUGGUGCAUGAUUCUAACCUCACGCAACCAAAAUCUCGAAGAACACUAAAAAAAUCAAAAUUCAACGUCCUCGAAUUAUAGUGGCGGAAUCUUCAUUGUGAUAAGGUCAAGGUUCCUGGUUCGCUGCUCACAAUAAGGUAAACCCUUCGUUUUUUGUGUUUUGUACAAUUUCUUGUUUGUUUAAGCUACAAUUUCUGGUCAUUUUUUUCUCACUGUUACUAGAAUUUAGGUUCUUUUGUGGCAAUCUGGACUAUUAUUAUGUUGUUGGUAGUGUUGGAUUUCAAGUUAGUGUGAAAAUGAGACUAGCUGCUAGCAUAAGUUGUUCAAAAGAUUUGAACUUUGAUGAAUCCUUUUGUAAUUUUCUUGUGUGCCAAGUACUGUAUUUCCUUGAAAUGGCUUGAACAACUUCUUUACUAGAUGUUGAUACCUGGCAGCGUUUAGAGGUGAUCUUCAAAUGAUUUAGUAUCACGUUGUUCUUGUUUGACUGCCGAAAUUUGUCAAGGAUGGUCACGUGAAUGCUUUCAUGGAUUAAGGACUCCUCGAGGAUCUCUUAACUUACAAAUUAUCACAUUUGUCAAGAAAGGGAUGAAAUCACUCUCACUUUCUCUUUUCAAAUAAGGUCGAAGGAUGGAGGUGGAUAUCGAAAUUAAUCAUCUUCCCGCCCAUAAGCCCUUUCCAGUUAUGCUUGCUUUCAUACUUUUGGUCCCAACUUGUUCAACGGGCCAUGUAUUAGAAUUCUCUUGGUUCAUAAUACCGAGUUGAACGUUUUGAAUGGAAACACUAGUUUUGAGUUAUCACUCUUUAAUUCUUCUCUUAAAAGAUAUAAAAAUAGGAAAUGAAAUUGAGUCUCUUUGUUCUUUAAAGAUUUCUUUCACCUAAAGCUAUUUCCCUCCCUUUGUUUGGUUGUUGGGAUCGUUGCACAGAGUUGGUCGAGCCUCAAAAUGGUUUAGAGAAACCAUUUUCUCUAAACCAAUUCCUUGAUCCCGCUUGUGGAUUAUUUCGAACUAUUGUAAUUUAUGGGAAAACAGAGGUUUUCUUUGUGAGUGUAUGGUUAUUUGUCAAAACUAUCAAACUGGGAUCUAUAUUUCUUUCUGCUUGUUGUAGUAACGUUUGGCAUAAAUUUGAUUUUGUUUGAAACGUGAUUUGUGUCUCAUGGUGAACAAAGGUGCAUUAGUUUUGUUUUUCUUUAUUUUAGUUAAUUCUCAUCCUUAUUGCGUACUUGUAUGGAUCUAACCCCUAUCUUUUUAUCUCUUGUGCAUGAACUCGUUUGAGUCUUUUUUGGACUCUUUCCUUGCAUCCUCGUUGGGUCAAACCCAAUAUCGAGUCAAAACUUCAAGGCAAAGUCCUAAAAGGACUGGCUUUGCGCCGGUAAAUAGUGAUAUACGCAUUAGGGAGGCUGCUAUACGGGUGAUAUACAAUGAACAUGAUAAAAGAAAGCUGAUUAUACAGGUGGAGGACUACAUUUGUGUUUAUAUGACUGAAAUACUAUCAUAUAUACACUGGAUAUACAGGAAAACGAGAGAAAUACAACUGUGAUAUACAACUGGUAUACCAGUUGUUAAAAUGGACCCAAAGUCCAGAAAAUUUGAAGCCCAAAGCUGAGCAGAUUGUUGAUGGGCUAGAAGAGGGGCCCAACUCCUACUCUUAUCUUUUAUUCUCUUGUAAUUACAAAUUUAUUCUUGUUUAUUUGUAUUAAUCCUAACUUUAAUUAAUUAAUUAAUUAAUCUAAAAGUUCCCUACGUUAUUGCCAUAUAUUUUAUCUCUACUUUUUCACUUAGUUUAUAAUUUUUCCCACCUAACUUAUCUUAUCAAAAAUGGAUUAAAUUGGCUCCUAUGCCUUUUUCUUAAACAAGUCUUUAAAAAUUAAGUACUUUAUUUCAAAUGAUAUUUGUUUUGUUCAUGUAACUAAUAGUCUAUUUGGAAUAAAGUAAUUUUCUUCAAACUCAAGAAAUUAAUUUUUCUUGUAAAGUCUAAAUUUUCCAUAAUUGAUGAGAUACUUUUAGUUUGAUACCCUCUUAACAUUUUUUCAAAGGUGUUAUUUAUAAUAAAAUUGACUUUCCUAUAAAUA
Molecule: long non-coding RNA, 56188 nt
Filed under: Capsicum annuum
Lineage: Eukaryota; Viridiplantae; Streptophyta; Magnoliopsida; Solanales; Solanaceae
Description: long non-coding RNA (CANN_LNC011621)
Source: RNAcentral